This 51451-nucleotide long non-coding RNA is filed under the name Triticum aestivum (bread wheat). RNAcentral's name for it is "long non-coding RNA (TAES_LNC003779)". The record is from RNAcentral. Lineage: Eukaryota; Viridiplantae; Streptophyta; Magnoliopsida; Poales; Poaceae.
AACAAGCCUCUCCUUCGGGUGAUGCCUUCUUUGGGGUGGCCUUUCUGCGAGCGUCCGUGCGUGCGUGUCCAUGAAUAAACCUCAGCUUGUCUCGGCAAGCUAGGUGCGAGUCCCUUCUUUGUUUUUUGUAUGAUUAUUGCCAGUGUUUGUUUCUUGUUGGGUUCGUCCUCAGAGUUGCUGCGAGAUUUAUGGGAUUAUCCCAGUCAAUCCUUCUGUCAUGUAAGAUUUUAUUUUGGGCAAAUCAUGAGUGUUGUAUGCCUGUUCCCUCAGUAACUCACUCGUUGUGUAUACAAUUGGACAGGCAUGUCACAUGGUGCCUGUAGUUGUGAUGUGCAUGCUAUACCUCCGUGUGAUCGAGAUCGAUCCAUAUGAUCGAUGCGCCAUGUGUGCAGUGGCAGCUGACACCCGGCGCUACGCAUGCGCAAGGACCGCUGCGAGACCUGAGCAUUUCUUGGGCCGGGCUUUAAAAAGCCGAACCCCACAAAUCUAAGCCUGAGCCAUGCCCGGUCCUGAACAAACGAACACUAUUCUAUUUUUCUCAAUCCUUUUUCCGGUAGUGAAUACUACCUCCCUCCCAGUUUAUUAGACCCCUAGUAUAUUGAGUCAAACUUUGACCAUUGACAUGACUAAUAAAAUAUAGAAUACAUGCUUAAAGUAGUACAAUGUUGGAUUUGUAUUUGAAAGAGCGUUCGGAAGGUAUAAUGUUUGUGACGUAUAGUUUACAUGUUAUUAGUUAAAAUUGUGAGUCAAACUUUAAUCUAAAAUAAGAGGGAGCCUAAUAAACCCGGACGGAGGUAGUAGUACUUAUCUUUCUAUUGAAAUUACGUAAUUUAUUCAUUUUCAAGAUAUAUUAAUACAUUAGUAUGAUUUUUUUAAUGAAACCUUAUUUUUAGUUUUUUAGAACCACAAUAUAGGCCAGAAGCUCACAAUCACUAUAUAUGUGGCAAUUUCCCAAAAGAAAAAACCCAUGUGUGCCAACAUUUUUUAGGAAAGAUAUUUCUUUCCAUUUCAUUAACGAAACCCCCGCAUGUUCUUACAAGAUACAAACUGCUAAAAGAGCCUGGAGGCCUUUAAUUUGAAAAUUUUCAAAAUCCUAUUUUUUUUGUUUCAAAAAAUUCUGAAACAACACACAUGUAUGCAAGGAUGUAAUGUGUAUGUGUGUAAAAAUUCAGUAUGAAAUAUCUUGAUUUACGAGCUGCAAAUAAAUUUAAUGGAGUAUGAGGAUGAAGAAUACAUAUGCUAAAAAGCCCCAGAUUUUUUUCUGUAGCUCUCAUUUAAACCUAUUUCGAUCUGAAAAUUUGCACACAUGUACAUUAUGUGUAUUACGUGAAUUUGUUUUCAGAAUUUAUUGAAACUGAAAUACGGUUAAGUGUACGCAUGAGCCUACAAAAUACGUACAAGGUAUUUGUAAAUGAUAAAAGUACUACAACAAACAACUCAAAACAGGUGUUCGACGUGGACCUCUUUUGUUUUGCAGGAACAUGGGAAUUAUUAAUGUACAGUAAUGCCUUUUACAAUCAUGAUUGAGCAACUCGGCAAAAAACAAAGUGGCCUCAAGCGGCCAAACAUUGGCCUCUACACCCGCUCCUAGCACCAGCAGCUUGUGCAAGUUGGCGAGCUACCCUGUGUCCUCCUCUAUUAACCUGAACCGAAAUUCAGGAAGUUCAGCCGCAGUAUCUCUAACAUCAGGUAGCAGGCGAUAAUACUACACGCACACGGAAAGAAUCGACAGACUUUCACGGAAUCCACCUCACCUAACCAAAUCCUAGCCAAUCAAUUUCUAACUACACCGUAAUCCCCCUGUAAAUCCCCGUGUGUCUAGCAUUGCUCGAUAGCAGGUGUGCAUGGGCAUGGCGCGACCAUAACUUGAGAGCCUGACUCCACUUGAGGCCAAACUGUUCAUGGCCGCCCAUCCAGUCAUCGGCGUCGCAGACCACGCGGAUUUGUGUUGUAGCAAUCCAUCCGCCUUGCUUGAACACAAAGUUCUGUUGGCAAGCUUCCAGCGCCGUGCGUGUCCUGGAGCAGCGGACGGUAGCAAUUGAAGCACGCGCGUACGUGGGAUACUACCCUACGGUCCUACCCUACUUGCGGGUUGCGGCCUUUUCCUCUUUGAGAAGACGUGCACUCCGACUGCUGCAUCGAUCGUUGUGACUCGUGGGACCCUAUUGGCAUCGCGUGUGCCGCUAUAUAAGCUGGGGUGCUCACACAGCAGCUCCGUCACUCAUCCCACCCUGAUACACUCGUUAACUCGUAACGAACAAGCAGCCAUCGAUGGAGGCUCCACGCAAGCUGUCUCCGCCGCGCUCGUGCUGGUGCUGCUGCUCGCGGCCACGGGGGAGAUGGGAGGCCCGGUGGCGGUGGCGGAGGCUCGGAAGUGCGAGUCGCUGAGCCACAGGUUCGCGGGCCUCUGCCUGCGCGGCCACAACUGCGCCAACGUCUGCAGGACCGAGGGCUUCCCCGGCGGCAAGUGCCGCGGCGCCCGCCGCCGCUGCUUCUGCACCACCCACUGCCGCUAGUAGCCUAGCGGCAUGCAUGCGUGCUGGCACCUUUGUGCGUGUGAUUGUGUCCAUGUCCAUGAAUAAACCUCAGCUUGUCUACUAUCUUGGCAUGCAGGCCGAGCUGGGUAUAAGAAACAACUUCUUCUUGUGUCCGUUCCAUGUUUGGGUUCGUCCUCAAAGUUGCAGUGAGGUUCGAUGUGUUCCUUUCACGUGUGUUGUGUUGUGUGCGUGUAAGCGUGUUCCCUCAGUCACUCAUUUGCUCCGUACACGGAACGACGUGCAUGUCGCAUGCUACUUCCGUCUAUGCUUUUUUGUUUGUUUGAGAAAAGUGUGAUCGAGGCAUGUGUGCAGCAAGGAACACGACAGCUGACACCGAGUAAAUUGCACAGAAGUACCACAAUUGGGACAUUAGAAGCAGAUUGAUAAUUUUUACGUGUCAGUAUCAACUUUGGGGCGGGCGAGGCGUUGCAAAAAAGACUAAAACUGCAGUUUAUACGUAUUGACAGGGAAUCUGACUGAUUGGGCCCGCCUGUCAGGUGCUGACGUGGCAAGUUUUUUGCAGAAAACUCCCUUGGUUUGUGAGUAAUCAUGUAAAUGCCCAAUUAUUUCGGGAAAAAAGGCUCCUAUGAGAGGCUUUUUUCCGUUCGUAAUUUCCACCACGGAUUCGGACUCGUUUGCAAAUUUGCGUCGGUUUGAACAAGUAAAUAAAACGAACANNNNNNNNNNNNNNNNNNNNNNNNNNNNNNNNNNNNNNNNNNNNNNNNNNNNNNNNNNNNNNNNNNNNNNNNNNNNNNNNNNNNNNNNNNNNNNNNNNNNNNNNNNNNNNNNNNNNNNNNNNNNNNNNNNNNNNNNNNNNNNNNNNNNNNNNNNNNNNNNNNNNNNNNNNNGGCGUUGCAAAAAAGACUAAAACUGCAGUUUAUACGUAUUGACAAGGAAUCUGACUGAUUGGGACCGCCUGUCAGGUGCUGACGUGGCAAGUUUUUUGCAGAAAACUCCCUUGGUUUGUGAGUAAUCAUGUAAAUGCCGAAUUAUUUCGGGGAAAAAGGCUCCUAUGAGAGGCUUUUUUCCGUUCGUAAUUUUCACCACGGAUUCGGACUCGUUUGCAAAUUUGCGUCGGUUUGAACAAGUAAAUAAAACGAACAAAAAAACAAUCCCGUGCAGGAUUCGAACCGGGGACCUGCGGUACAGCAGAGCAGCGGGCUAGCCACCGCGCCAUGGCUGCGCUCGCGUCAAGAAGCAGGCAGAACGGUUUUUAUACUAGACAUGGGCAGGCUGGGCCGGCCCACCGAGGCCUGCAUUGUUUUUUCCUUUCGCACUUACCUGGCGUAUUGGGGCUCAUUCGUUGCCCAGAUUUCUUUACGUUUCAUUUCUCUUACUUAUUAUGCUUUAUUUUUUAUUCUGGUUUUGGUUUAUUUUUAGGUUUUUCUUUCUUAUUUUUUCAUUCGCUAGGUUGGUUUAUCUCCUGGAUUUUUAACAUAUUUACUGAACAUUUUUUAUGAUGGGUUUUAGUAUAUGAUGAACAGUGAACAUUUAUUUCAUGUAAUGAACUUUUGGUAAUAUACAUUGAACAUGUUUUCAAUGCCAAUUUAAUAUUUUCCUAAUAUAUGUUGAAUUUGUUUCUUAAGAUAUGAUGACAUUUUGCAUAAUGCGCGGUGAAAUUUUCGUAAUUUAUGGUGAACAUUUUCUUAAUACACGAUGAGUUUCAAGAAUAUUAUGAUUACACAAUUUCUUAAUUUAUAGUAAACAUUUUUAAUACACGAUGAACUUUUCUUACAAACAGUGAACACUUUUCUAAUAAUAUGAACGUUGAACAUAAUUUGAAUGCAAAUGGAAUAUUUUUGUAAUAUAUGUUGAAAUAUUUUCUUAAGAUAUGAUGAAAAGUUUACUUAAUGCACGGUGAUUUUUUUAUAAUUUAUUGUGAGCAUUUUCUUAAUACACGAUGACUUUCAAGAGCAUUAUGGUGAACAUUUUCUUAAUACAUGGUGAAUUAUUUGCAUUUCAAGAAAUGUUCAACAUGGGUUAAAAACUUAUUGUGUAAAUCAUUCUUGCAUUUCAAGAAACACGUCGAUUUUUUUAAUAAAAUUUGAACACUUUUAGUGCAUUUUGGAGAUUUAUUAUGAUUACAAAUUUAUAUUUAAUACAUGUUGUCAACUUUCUAAUUAACUGUGCAUUUAAAAAAAUAAAAUAUAUAUGUAUUAAUAUCAUGAAUAACAAAUAUAUAUGGGCCGUGCCUGUGUUCUAGUCUGGUGCUUGACACUUAAUAAUACUAAUAUGUAAUCGCAAAAUAUAUAUGUAUUAAUAUCAUGAUUAAAAAAAACAGUAACCCAGCGCGCAGCCACGCUGGGCCAAUCGCCGGCCCAACGUCUUCAGCAUCUACUAUCUACUAUCUAUCUAUCUACUACCCCUAUAAAAAGAAGAGAGGGGCAGAUCCAAACAAUCUCAUCCAUCCAUCAGCAAAAUUCAAUGACUUAAUCCUUCGGUGUUUAACGCUGCAAACCACGCAUUAAGCCACUAACAAGCCAUCGAUCGAUAACCCAGCCCCGCAGUUAAUCACACGACUCUCGCCCCUGCCCGCACCUCCCUCUUCGCACGACUCUCACCCCUGCGCGCACGACCUCCACCUCCUCCUCCCGCGCCGUUCGCCGCCCCGCAAACUCCGGCAGCCGUUAACCGCCCUUCGCCGCGGGAGCAGCCGCUCGCCACUGCAGCCGCCGCCCGCGGGAGAAGCCGCGGGAGCCGCUCGCCGCUCGCCGCGGGUCGCCCUUUGCCAUGGUCGCCGCCGGAGCCGCCCCGCCCCUGGAUCCGCUCGCCGUUGGUCCCCGCCGGAGCUGCCCCGCCCCUCCCCGGCGCUCCAACCCCAACUCCCCGACUCUCCAUCCUCCCCGCUUCUCAUCACCACCGCCGCACUCCCCGAAGCCCAUCUCUCUCCAGCCUUCCUGCCCGCAUGCAGCCCUCGCCCUCGGCACCGCACGGGCCAGGCCCUCUCUCCUCGGUUAUGGCCACCAUGGAGAACCUGACCCGUAGGGCAUACCCUCCUCCUCUGAUGCGUAACACCCAUCCCUGCCCCGGCGGCUGGGAUCAUGUCCGCCAUCAUGAGCAGGUGCUCCGCAUCCGAGUGCACCGACUCAGAGGUAGAGGUUGGGCUGUAGUUCUUGGACGCCAAGGAAGAACGCAAGUUGUUGCCGCCGCCGAAGAUGAAAACUGGUGGUAACUGGUAAGCCUCUGCAAGCCCCCACCUAGCCUCCCGCCUCUUAGUUCUUCUCCUUUUUUACUCUAGAUGGAUGAUGUCUGAUCUUGUUCACUUAGUCUCCAAUGCGUGAGGAAGAAAAACAGUCACCUCUAACGUCGAUCAGCAGAGCCCAUGUCUUUUGCAUGUAAAGAGACUCUGAGUUAGUGGUUUUCUAUUUACUACAUGCAUACAUCCAAGAACGACUCUACUGAAAAGUAUUAGAAAUUAUUUACAAAUAGCUUUAAGCAAGAAAUGCAACGAGAUGAUUACAUUACAAUGCUCUUUUCUCUCUUCGUUACUACAACCUUGAUGAUGCUUGGGUGAUUCAACUGAAUAGUUGAUGGAUUAAAAUUCAUAUUACAAUGUGGAAAAUGUAGCAGUUUCAGAUUACAAGAUUCAUGUUGCCGUUGUAUAUAAAGGGAGAAUUAAUGUAGUUGCUCUGUAGGAAGCAUGUAGUUUCUCUGUAGGACUCCUGGUGUGCUGCUGGAAUAAACUGGAGGUACAUGUUUUUGUAAUUUUUUGUUGAUAGCUUACCAAGCUGACCACUUGGUAGAGGUACAUGUUGAUUUGUUCUCUUUCAGGUGAUGGAACUCUAUCCUACGCGCAUAGCAGUGAUGGAACAUAGCGUACUUUCACCCUUUUUUCCAGAUCGAGAUGGUGGAGGCAGCCAGUGUCGUGGCCGAGCGCUGGGGAGCUUGUCGGUGUUUUGAUGGAGAAGGCCGGCCGCCUCCUCUCCCUACCAAGUCUUUUUGGCCCAUAGAUCGAGUUCAUGGUUGAUAAGGAAGGUGUGGUCGAUUUCACCAGGCUGGGUCCGAAGGUCCCGAAGUCCUAUGGCAUGAACUGGCCACGGCGCAUCCGGCUGGAUGCACUUGCUCAACACCUUUCCAUCUCUGUACAAUCAGGUAGAUAUUUUCUCACGUGCCAAAUAUUAUUUUUAGGUUGCCAAAUAGUAGUCUAGGAACUAUAGAAAGUGGAUUGCUGAGUUUGCCAAGCAUAAUAGCACACCUAUUAUCAGAUGACCUGAAGAGUAUAUCAAGCAAAGAUGCUUUCAGAUUUAUGCAUGCCUAUAUUAGGUUCCUACUUGUGUGAAGAUAACACUUUGCAUCAGGCUUGUGAGCAACCGUAAGUUGUUUUGCAUGUGAUACUACUUGUGUGAUUAUUUUUACCUUCGGAAAAUUUCCUUCUUAUUAUAUAUCAUAUGGAAUUCUUCAACCAGAGGAGAGCAACUCAAUGAGUUUGCAUACAUUCAGCCAUCUAUGUUGAUGCAACUCAACUAACAAAGAGUAUUUAAGAAAAGACUGCAGUUUGUAAAGCCAGUGGACAAAUUAGUUCUGCACAGUCCGGCAUUAGCGGCGUGCAUGCAGUAAUUCAUCAAUGUUGGGGGUCAGUGCUAUGAACAUCAAGCUUCACCUUUACCAGUGGCAUUAAUUUGUUGUUUUUGUUUUAUAUCAAAUAAUUUACCAUUCUUCAGUUUUGCAUAUCAUAUUUUGGUUCUGAAUUUGUAUUUGGAUAUUUCUGCAACCUUAUUUCUAACAUGCCUUCAACUACUGUUUAUCGCACAAAAAGUCGAAAAAUGUGGAAUAGAGAACUAUUACGGGUAAUACGAAUUGUUUUCUCAUGCAGACUACAAAUUCUCUGUAAUUCACGUGGUUUUGGAAUUUGUUUAAUGUGCAAAAUAUGUACAAGGCUUGUGAGCGGCCAUUUUUAGCCAAGUACUUGUAUAAGUUCUCUUGUAACUUAGCUAUCAGCUUAUUACGAAAGGCUUUGAGGAUUCUUAAUCUAAACUAAAUUUUUAUACCUGUAGUAAUCUUCUGUUAUGAUUUAAUAUUGCACCACGUUAGUCUUGCAUCACGUUAGACCCUGGGUUUGUACUUGCUGCAAAUGCUGUAGGAACUCAACGGCUGUACUUGCUGAAAAUUUCAAUUGAUCAACAUGGGAGUAGUGGUCUCAUGAUCUAAGACUAAGAGUAGAUUUAUUUAUUCUGUUCUAAUAUGUUUAAGAGGGGGAUGAGAAAGUUUCUGCUUAGGUUUGCGUUGCAAGUGAAAGCUUAGUUUAGUAGCAAGGUUAUAACGUGCGUUGCACGUGCAAACUUACUAGUAGUAUAAAGAAGUUCUCGCCUCUUUUACUUCGCGAGGGCAGCCGUGGCGGGGUGGCUAGCCUGCUGCUCUGCUGUACCUCAGGUCGCCGGUUCGAUUCCUGCGCGGGAUUCAGGAUUUGUUCCUUUUAUUUACUUGUUCAAACCGACGCAAAUUUGCAAACGAGUCCGAAUCCGUGGUGGAAAUUACGAACGGAAAAAAAGCCUCUCGUAGGAGCCUCUUUCUCCGAAAUAAUUGGGCAUUUACAUGAUUACACACAAACGGAGGGAGUUUCCUGCAAAAAAUUUGCCACGUCAGCACCCGACAGGCGGGCCCAACCUGUCAGAUUCCCUGUCAAUACGUAUAAACUGCAGUUUUAGUCUUUUUUGCAACGCCUCGCCCAAAGUUGGUACUGACACGUAAAAAUUACCAAUCUUGAUACCAAUCUGUUUCCAAUGCCUCAAUUGUGAUACUUUUGUGCAAUUUACUCGCUGACACCCGUCGCUGCUCAUGCUCAUGCAUGAUGGACUGGCCACGCGUAAAAGGUCCCGGCCUCUAGGAGUGCGAAGUUAUGGUGCUCGGGCAGUCGGGCACCAUGAUGCCCUUUAUUUUCAUUUUUUUAAAACACACACACGCACGCGCGCGUGCGCGCGCGCACACACACAUAUAGAAGUAAAAAAACAAAAAAAACAAAAUCUGUGGAAACAUGUUAUAUGUGCACUGCGGAUCCAUGAAAUUUUGUUUCCAAAAAAAUGUAUUGUGUAAGCUGUACAAAAAAAGAUUCUGUCCCAAAAGCAAAAAGAGGCCCAUUUGAAAAAUACAUAUUUGUCUUUUCUUUGUACGCCUCAUGUGAAAGUAAGAUGUUAUGAAAUUUUGCACAUACAUAGUAUACAUGUGAGUGUGUUUACAAAAAAUUCCAAUCUUUUUUCCCUAUAGAAAAUGUUUUUUCGCGACCUCUAGCAGGUUCAAAGCUGCUUCCUAUUCAGCGCUUCACCCGCGCUGGUUAAAGGCGUCCACGUACGUAAACCAACUGGGCCGGCCUGUAAUGCAUUGAAACAUUCCUGAUUUUUGUGCAGCUUUGUGGUCACUUCUAGGAAGCUUCUAGAAGCAUCAAACCAUUUUUGGGAAGCUUUUGACCGAUGUUUUCUUUGCCUGUUUUUUAAUUUUCAUUUUUCGUUUUUCUUUUUCUUUAUUUAUUAUUUUGUAUUUAACUUUUUUAAAUUCACAAACCUUUUUAAUAUUCAUGCACUUUUUAAAAUCUGUGAAUAUUUUUUAAAUUUAUAUUUUUAUAUAAAUUCGUGAACAUAUUUAAAAUCCAUAAACAUCUUGAAAUUCAUGAACUUUUCCAAAUCCGAAUUAUUUUUCAAAUCAUUGUUUUUAUUUCAAAUUUGUGUUUUUUUUAAUUCAUGAACUAUUUUCCAAUCCAUGAUUUUUAUUCAAAUUCACAAAAAGAAACUCUGUUUGUUCCAAAAGUCAACGGUCUACAGGCCGACCAGGUCAACCAUGAAGAGCGACUAGGCGCGUGAGCUUGAUGAGCGAGCUGCUCGCUCGCAUAGCUAGCCCUGCCUACACAGGGGGGCGAGUGAGCGCUGCCUAGCUACCAGGCGCAGUGAGCGCUAACUAGGAGCUGCCACAGCAAAAAGCAUAGCUGGCUUCCCUCUUAAUGACAAAUUUGCACAAAAUGGACCUUUUGAAGAAAUCUAAGCCCAAGAGGCCCCUAAUUCACCUAUGGACCCCCUCCAGUGGAUGAUUGCGGUUCAUAUAUUAACAUGGUCAGUAUUAUCACGAUUUUACCUGCUACUUAUGUCCGACGAUCAAAAUUGGUCCAUAUAUCGUCACAUAUAUAUAAGUAAACUAAAUAGUUGCUCGUGCCACUAGUGGAAAAAGGCUCAUUUGUCCCGGUUCUGGAACCGGGACUAAAGGGUCGAGACUAAAGCUCAAACCUUUAGUCCCGGUUUGCUUAUGAACCGGGAGUAAAGAAGCUCCACGUGGCCGCUGUCUGGAGCUCCACCUUUACCAACCAGGACUAAAGAAUUUUUUUUAAAAAAUUUAUUUUUCUGAAUUUUGUUGAAUUUUUUUUGAUUUUUUUCUUAUUUUCAAAUUUCUGAAUUAUUUGACAAUUUAAUCUCUAAUCAUCCCUCAUCACUGCUCACUGCUCAAUUAUAAACCACUCAUUUCAAAUCGUCUAACUUCCCAGCAAGUCACGCAUCUUCUCACUACUCCAUCCUGAGCAUGCUUAACUUUCGAGUUCUAUUCCCCCUAGUUUUCAAGUGCUUUUCCUGACAAUACUAAGCUGUCAAUCCUAUUAACACUUAGGAGUUGAACUUGAGCAUUAAGCACCGUUUGAGUUUGAAACUAUUAUUCUAAAAAAACAAUUAUUAUUUAGUAACACUAAUAUUUCUUGAAUAAGUAGUUUGACCAUAGUUUGACCAGAUUUGACCAUAGUUUGACCACAAUUUGACCAAAAGUCAAAAAAGAAAAAAUAAUUAUUUAUUAACACUAAUAUUUCUUGAAUAAGUAGUUUGGCCACAGUUUAAUCAGAUUUAAUGGAAAGUCAAAAAAACUGAAAUUUGAGCAUAUUUGUUUUCUUUCAGAAUUUCAGGAUUCUAAAAAUUUGCAAACAGGUCUACGGCUGUCAAAAUCGAAUGUGGAUUUUCGUGCUUUUUUUUGAUAUAUUAUGCGUUUUUUCGACAUCGUAUGCAAAAGAUAUGACCGUUUUACUUUUUCAUAACACUUUUUUUGCAAAAUAUGUCCAAAUUUAAGCUUUUUAAUUUUCCUAACUAGUAGAUGUAAUAACAUAACUACAUCUCGAAGGAUUUAAUUUUUUAAGUUUUUAUCAUUUUCUUUUGGAUUUUAAAAGACUGAAAAGGCGAUACACGGGGGGUAGAGUUUGAAUCUUUAGUCCCAGUUUACGACACGAACCGGGACUAAAGAGUGCGAUGCCCUUUAGUCCCGGUUCGUGUCUCAAACCGGGACUAAAGGUCCCAUUUGAACCGGGACUAAUGUCUUCUCGACGCCUUAGCCGCUUGAACCGGGACUAAUGCUCAUAUUAGUUUCGGUUCGUGAUGCAACCGGGACUAAAGUGUACAUUGAGCUGUGACCAAAGCCCUGUUUUCUACUAGUGUGCAUUGUAAUGGGGCACACUAUUUUCUACCCAAACAUUGUGAUUUAUCGUACAUUUUGUUGUUAUAUGAUAAUUACAUACUAAAUGUCGCAACUGAAUAAGUACUUAUUGAUUUACCAAAGAAAACAUGAUUCUAUUAGUUAAAUCAAUAAGGCGUGGACCAGUUGAGGUGGUUCAAAAGAGAAUCGAUGAGAUAUUUUUAAUAAAACCUUGUGUUCAUUUUAAGUAGGAUAGAUGUUGCCGCAUUUUUCUAAAUCAUUGGGUUUAGAUUAGGGGGGUGGGUGCAAAUCAAGCGUGUGGCAACUCUAACGAGCUUGCAAAACUGGUUGUAUGUGCAAUCUUAUUAUAGCAAUCAAAUAUAUCUAAAUGCAUCUUUUUUUUUGAGGAGGUACGCAAAUUGUGCACCUUAGCUUUAUAGAAGGAGAGAAAUAAGACAUACAACAACGUCUACCAUUCGCUGCGGAGAACGAAGGCGACCAACUCCACACCCGGUUCGAACAAGGACAACCAAACACAACAACCUACCCAACACCGAGCCCCUCGCCGCGUCUCGACCGACACUGAAGACCUCCGAAGAACAGCAACUCCAGCUUCCUUGGAGUAGCCAGCGACGACCGUACAUGGCGCCGAAGGAGAAAGAUCCGGGUAGCGGUGAACACCGGAGGAGCGCAUCAUGGGACCUCGAGUCUCCCAGCAUAAUGCUCCCAACAGAGUAACAACCUCAAAGACGUUGCCAUCAUGCCGAUCCUACGAAUCAAGGCUUUCACCCCGGAGACAGCUGACGAAAUGAGGUCGCGAGGAAGAUGGCGUUGCACUCGGCGAAGCCUCCAAGAAGGGGAAUGACACCCGCAGGCGCCAUCAACGCCGGUCCGGCCACAACCGAACAGGAUUUUCAUCCGUAGCUCUGCACAUCUCCGAGUCUCCAAGAUCCCGACCAGCCCCGAUCAGAUGCCUCGCACCGCCGUCACCACAACAACUUGCCAUCGAAGCCCCCCCUCACUGCCGAGGGGACACGCCUAAAGCCAUAGCCUUCAACAUCGACUAGGAGCUGCAGCAUCCACCGAGUGGUGCAAAGCCAUUUCCGCCACAGUGGCCUUCACCCAUCCCAGGGGACUGCCACCAGAAUGGAUCCGACCCGCACCUCCGACCAUCCUCCAGCACGCACACCGCCGAGGCAUCGCCGCACGCCUCACAAGGUAGCAACCGAACGCCCGCUGCCCGCCAAGACCCUUCCUGGCAAGGCCUCGCAGCGCCGCCGCCGCCAUGGCUGCGCUCGCACCGCCGCCACCGCCAGUGCCGGUGCACCACCUGCAUCCUCCAUCCUGCUACGUUCCACGCAAGGAUCCAGCGAUAACCGCCGCACCCCAUGUCGUGAGAACCUCAAGGACGCCGGCCAGUGCCAAAAACGCACCAGAUCUGGCCCGAGAUCCUCGGGUCCGCACGGAUCGGCCCGCUCGGAACUGGCCAGGCACGAACUCCCCCGCGGCGAGGAGCACCAACCCGCAGCCGUCCUGCGCACUCCACCGCGACGCGCCGCCACCAGACCGCCGCGACGCCCCACACCACCUCCGGCCAGCGCGCAUCUCCGCCGCGUCGGCCACCGAGAUUCGACGCCAGGCUGAAGAAGUGGUCCCGCCGGCCUGCGCACGCGACGCGCCGCUGCCAGACCGCCGCGACGCCCCGCACCACCUCCCGCCAGCGCGCAUCCACCCGCCACGCCAGCCACCGAGAUCCGCCGCCAGGCCGAAGAAGCGGUCCCCCGCGACCACCGCUCCAGGUGAGGGCAAGAUGAAUCCCGCCGCCGCCGGCACCACACGGGCUUUGUCCGACGGCGACCGCCGCCGGCGGCGGCGGCGGCGGGGAGGGGGAAAGGGAGGGAGGCUGGGGUCGGCGGCGGGGUUAGGGCACCCGAGUCGCCCGCGGGGGGGCGACGCGGGGCAGUUAUAUCUACAUGCAUCUAGCUGUCACCAAACCAAACACUCGCUUUUUGCCUAUGUGUUCCACCCCUCAAAUUUUACUAUGCCAUGCACGACUCAAUAUUUUUCUUUGACUUUUUUUUGCUGUGAUACAUAAUAAUGAUCACAAAAAUUAGCUUUGACUACAGUGGAUUUUCACUAAAUAAGAUUGAGAGAGUGAAAAAUCACUCCCUCCUAUUCCUAUAUGUCCAAUCCUCACAUAUGCAACGAAUAUAGAUCGACCUAAGUAUCAGAGCCAACAACCAAGCUUUCCGAACUAAAACAAUUGAAGGAGCGUAAACAUCAAGAACCAUCAUCACCCAAAAACAAAUGAAACCUUCUCACAGGGCCCCCACGUCGCUCUCUCCCCGGGGCGGCACGGGCGGCGACCACCGCCCCUCUCGCGGCCUCCCCAACUCCAGCCUCUUCUCCCCCUCGCCGUCGCCGGUGGCCUCCGGCAGGCAAAGCCUGCGCGGAGCCACCGGCGACGGGGCGCUCUCUGUAGCUGCUGCUCGCUCGGGAGGAGGGGCGCUCGCAUGCGGGUCGCGGCUGUCCGGCGCUCGGCCUCGUGGCGGCAUUGCUGCUCGCGGCGGAGGCAGUCUCCGGCAUAUGGCGCGGCGUCUGGUCGCGGCGGUGGGCGCGCCGUCGCGGUGCGCGCGGUCACGGUCGUCGGCCUCGUGCGGUCCCGAUCCGAUCUGGGAUCCUGCUGGCGGCGGUUGGCGCGGACGGUGUGUGGCGCCGGGGCGGCGGCCUCGGUCCGAGCUCCUGAUGUGGCCGGGGCGUGGACGGCGCGCGCUCGCGUGGUGGUGGCUCGGUUCUGGCUGUGCGUGUGGGGCGCAGCGACCAGUCGGGCGUGGUGGCUGCAGGUGCGUGUCGGGCGCAGUGACCGGCGGUGCGUGACGGGUGUGCUUCUCUGGAGUGCGAGGUGUGCUGCGGAGGGGAUCCUGCUCGUCUGCUCUACUGCUUUGCAUGUGCAACUCCGAUUGCAUAUGGUGCGAGGUGCAUCGAUCUGGGUGCUGCGCUUCGCGAUGCGGCGUGGGUUGAUGCGGUGGUGGUGGCCACGGUGGUGCUGCGGUGGUGGACGGCGGCUUCGGCCAGGGGGUGGUGCAUGUCAUGUCGCGGUGGAUCAUGGGAUCCCGUGGCCUGAAUGAGGUCGGCCUCAGUAGGUGGUGGCUGGUGGGCGGUGGUCGGUGGUGGUAGGUGGUCGGCGCAUCUCCAGGAGAAAUCUUUGCUUCAGCCUUCUUCGGAGAUGGCGACGGCGGCGCCCGCGGGUGCAGUGAUCUUUCUUGGAAGCGUUGUCGUGGAGGUGUGCUCCUCCUCCCCACGGAUUUGGCUCCGGAGGGAAACCUCAGAUCCGCUGGGUCGGGCGAUGAAGGCGUCUUCGCGUCUUUCUCCUCCUUGGGCGCAUCGUCUCGGAGCCGGCUACGACUGGGAGACUGGUGGAUUGCGGCAUCUUCGCCGUGGAUGGCGGCAUCUUCGCCGCGUGGUCUGCUGAGGCGGGGCACUGGUUUCUGUUUGGCAACGAUGAUGGCGUCAAGAGGAGGUCGGGUCGCGGCGUGGACUUCGGUAGUCGGUUCUUCCCGGCGUGUCCGAGGUGCUCUUCUGUGGGCACGGUCGGCGCAAGUCUUGCAUAUUUCCCUAGUGAGGCUCGUCGUCAAAGUCGGAGCUGUCAGUUGCUUGCGCGUGUGGCCAUCCGGUGGCAUGUGCCGUCGUGGCUUCUAUACAGCUGUUUGCAGGUUGGCUUUGAGGUUGGAGCUCUAUGGUGAAGUCGGAGUCGCUCGUUCGAGGCAAUCGGUGAUGACGAUGACGCUUGCGACUCCUCGGCGAAUGCCAUUCUUCUUUGCAGCUUUGUGUUCCAUGUCGGUGGCCUGGUUGGCCGGUGAUGCCCAUGUCAGGUGGGUUGAGUUGUAUCGGUUUUAGCCCGGUUUUUCGCAAAUUAACCGGGCAAUUCUCUCUUCUUCUUAAUCAAUGAAAAUGGCAAAUCUUUUGCCUCGUUUCAAAAAAAAAAAACAACAACAAAUGAAGCAAGACUAAAACUAUAAAUUCAAGAACUUGUAGGGGUCACAUGGACCGCUGGAAAAAAUUUGUACCUUGAGAGCUGUGAUAUUUUUAAAACAAGAUCAGCCAGGAAUAGCUCUUAGCAACAUAUUUUUAUAGAAGAAAAUCUCUAAGCAUCCGGCAGAGUAUACCGCUUUAGCAUAUGUACAAAUCUACAAAACACACAAUAGGUGGUAUUUAAAAUUAAAAUGUAUGGAAAUAAAUGGUCAAAGUGUAGCACGCAUCUCAAAGCUCGCCCCGACGCUGGAUUCUUUGGUGUUGCCUACCGGGUGGGCACCCUAGAAAAAUCGUGUUCGUGUCCACCGGCCGAAUCGAUGCGUUUAUGAUCAACCGCUCGCCGCUCCCUACCCUUGCUAGCUCACGGCAAUCCGGUCGUCGUCGUCGUCACAGACCACGUGAGUUUUCUUGUAGUAAUCCAUGGCGUCGCCGGAUCGACCUUUGGCUCUUUCCACAUACUACCUACCUAAUUGCGGCACAUAUUUGUCGCCUUUUUCAUUUGGAUGCAACUGCAUCGCGUUCGGUUUGACCCAUGGCUUCGGCAGCUUGUGCGCGCCGCUACAUUAUAAGCAGGUGCGCUCACACAACUAGCAGCUCCAUCACUCCACCACCACCCUGAUACACUCAUAACAAGCAGUGAUCGGUCGAUGGAGGCUUCACGCAAGCUCCUCUCGGCGGCGCUCCUCCUGGUGCUGCUGCUGGCGGGCACAGGGGAGAUGGGAGGCCCGGUGGCGGUGGCGGAGGCGCGGACGUGCGAGGCGAAGAGCCACAGGUUCAGGGGCCCCUGCGUGCGCCACCACAACUGCGCCAACGUCUGCAAGACCGAGGGCUUCCCCGGCGGCAAGUGCCGCGGCUUCCGCCAUCGCUGCUUCUGCACCACCCACUGCCGGCAGUAACCAACCUAUUGCCUCUACUUCGUACGUCCGCCUAGCUGCAGCCUGCCUGCGUGCAUCCUGGCUUGCUCGCACCUCUGUGCGUCUAUAGUAGUUAGCACUGUGUCCAUGAAUAAACCUCGGCCUGUCUGUCAUGGCAUGCUGAAAUGGGUAUAAGAAACGCAGGCUCUCUUUUACUCUAUAUUAACUAGAAGAACGCCCGUGCGUUGCAACGGGGCCACAUUAAUUUUAAGAAUUCAAUAUUACGACAUUGAUGAUCUUUUUUACCAUCAAAUCCUCACACACACAGACACACACUCUCCCUCCCUCUUCCUCACUCUCUAUCCCCCUCUCCCUCUCUCUCUAACACACACACAUAUCUAUCUUAUUGGGUACGGGACCAUAAUCCAUCUAUUUCACAGAUACACGCUACUGCAUAACAAUAUGGAUUAUGUGUAUUAUAUUUGCCACCAGAACCGAGGAAAUUAAUUUCAUGUAAAUCGACCAACCACAGCUCCAAGAAUACGCGGACGAGGUGGCUCGGAUCGGUGUCGGCGCCGUCCAGCGCGGACCACGGACCCGCUACCAAGUGCACGUACAAUGCACGUCUUCACAAAUAUUAUAACCAGAUGUGAGAAAUCACAUGCAUAGAAAAGACAUUCUGAUAGCAAUCCAAAUACCAUACUCAAUUGAAUACCUAACCUGGACAAUACUCUUAUUUCUAUGCGCCAAAAAAAAUGGAAUAGCAAAGCUAAGUAUGCCUACAUACGCUCAGAUUAUAUAUAAGAAUCUUGGGUGAACAAUUGCAACAAAGCACUAAGCAGCGAUAAAUCUAAAUAACAAAUCCAUUAACUAUGCAGGCAGCAGGCUUGUUACAACAUAGAGAGAUAGGAAAAUGUCACCUCCAGUAAUGUAGCGCAAAGGAGUGGAACGAAGCAUGAAUGAGCGGUUGUCUGUUCUUCUCCAUGUACAUGGAUCAGUAGUAGAGGCCAAGUAUAUAAGUACUUGACUGAACUCCACUCUUCGUGUACGGAGAGCCAUGUCACCUUCUCACCGCUGCAGCAUGGGAGGACGGCUGGUUCACGUGACCCUCCAGCUGGGGGAUCCAUGGUGUCUGACCGUCGAGCUCGAGGCAGAGAAGUUGAGGGCAGCAGUGGCGAGAUCCAUGCCGGCCAACCGGGCGAAGAGGAGGUCGUCGGGGAGGGACACAUCGGCAAGAUCCGGUCACCACGCGACCUGAAGAGCAACAGUGAUCUCCACAAGCUGUAGUCCGACGGCGUGCUCCAUCCCCUGCGAUGGGGUGACCAUGGCGGUGGCCACAGCUCCUCAUGCUCGCCUCGAUCUCGGCGACACACCCUAAGUGUAGGAGGCAGCAACGACCUCGACGAAAUCAUGGCCUCCAUCCCGGAACGCAUGAAGGACCUCGGCCCUAUCGCUACUCCUCCCGCCGUAGCCGCACGCGGCAGCGGACCGUGGGUAGGAGGCCAGGCGGCGUCGCCUCGGCUGACGGCAGGGAGCAGCGUUGAUUUCGGGUAGGUGGCAUCGCGAGGACGGCCGCGGCCGCGGGGAGGCACCCCGAUCAUGCUGCCAGGCCAAUCCUUCUCCUCCGACCCCCUAUCCCCGAAGAUUGCGCCGCCGCCCCGGUCGUGUUGUUUUCAUAUGCCAUUUUUUCCUGUACCUAAACAAAAGCGGGCGAGCGGAUGGCAGAGUUUUGGUCCGCCCUCUAAAAUUGCUAAACACACUUUUGGUGAGGAUUAUUGUUAAUAAAUGAAUUCAAUCAUGUCGCUCUAAAUAAAUGAAUUCAAUCAUGUGACUCUAAUUACUUCGGAUUGUUAUGUGCACACUAAGCGGGGUGUAGUUAGGAAAGAAAAUGUUUUCUAAUUAAAGUGAUUGAGUGAUUUAAGGUAAGGUUAAUUAAUUUAGAUUUGAUUUUUAGUGAUUGUUAGUAAAGUAUGAUGGGUCUUUAAAAUCUUUUAUUUGUUUCCUUAAAAUCUAUUAUUUGUUUCCUAUAGAAAUUUGCAAUAAUGGAAGGUAUCGGUUGAUUUGGAUAAGUUAGUAAAUUUAGAUCCGUGAGUGCGUGCACAUUUGGAAAGUGCUGAUUUACAAGGAAAGAGCUGAGGGGUAAAUAAACCGGUGAAUAAGAAAUCAGCAUCGAAAAAAAUCUACGACGGUUAACCUACGGAAAAACACCGGACGAAAGUGGUGGGACGAAAAAAAACCUGGAAGCAAGACUACCAACUGCUCCAUUAGGAGUAGAGAUAAUGGAUCUGUCUAGGUCUCAGUCGAAGUCUAAGUCGAUUGAUGACAUCAGCAUGCAGACUUGUUUUAUUUCUGUAAUUGUUUGUAUGUUUUUGGCGUUAUGGGCUGCCUUUGUAUUUUUAGUGGGCUUUUGUCACCUUUUCCACUGUGAGCAAUGCUUUGUUGCCAGAUUUUCCCCUCUUCCUUGUGCUUGGGCUGUACGACCACACAUAUAUGUGUGUUUUGCUAUGCAGCUACAAACUUAACAAUUAUGAAUAAAAAACUACAACCUCAAGUCCUCAACGAGUGAGGCAGCUUUUUUGUGUGUUCAAAUCAUUGCAUUUGUUUUUGUCAGAAAAAUCCUUGUAUAUGCAGUACGGUGCUUGUAGUUUUUUUAGAUGGGCAUGCAACUUAUUGUCAUUUUUCAUUCAAGGAGAAUACAAGGAUUUGAACACAAGCAAAUAUAUUCACAAGAAUAAUAAUGUGAUGCGCGCACAAGCAAUGGAUAAAAAUAAAUAAAAUGAAGAUAAAAAUUAAUAAAAGACACCAAUCGAGCACCCUCCCGCCCACGCGUGCCUUCUAGUUGCGUGCUUAUAUCACCUGUGGUUGCAUGCGGUGUGAAGUAUAUGUAGUUGCAUGCGCAACAGUAGGUUGCACGUUUGCAGUAUCAAAUUUUAGAAAACAAUAUAAAACAAAAAAUAAAAGAAGAAAAAACAUCACUAAAUAUCAGUUGAGUUUUGAAGUUACAGUCAAGGGCGAUUGUGCAACCAGAUGACAAUAUACUAAAAACUUAUUCUUUAAUAUAAAUUAAAAAUCAAAAAGUAGCAAGAAUCUUACAAUUAGAAAAGAAAAAGGAUAAACAGAAAAAAUAUUAAAACAUGAAAAAUGGUUGCAUUUGUAUCUGCACCCUGCCCACGACAAAAACCGACAUAGAGUUGUAGUCGCGGCAACACUUACAGUUGCAUGCCUAGUGACAAACAUGCAACCGCCCCUCCCUAAAAAACGCCGUAGAGAUGUAGUCGGGGCGAUCUUGGAGGGGCCCCGGAUCGCCGAGCAUCUCGUCGCCGGCGACUUCCGUUGUGAAAACCUUCCUUCCUCUCCUGUUUUCACUCUGUGUCUACGCUCUUCUCUCAAUUCAAACAGUGUCGUUGGAUGGCCUCUAGAAAGAUGUUGAGUCUUGGUCCACAUUCCAGAGACUAAAAAAAAGAAACAACAGCACACUGUCUAUAGUCACUCCCUUCACAAAAAAGCAUUAAAAAACGUGUUCGAGAAUCUGAACAAGUAACUCUUCCCUCCUUUAAUAUGCUCUUUUUUUUGAGAAAAUGAGCUCCGCUCUCAGAAUCAGACACAAAAAAUAAAUUAAUUUUUUUUCUUAAAUCCUUGGGGAAAAUGCAAACAGAAAAAGGAAAAAAUGUAUAUGAAUUAAAAAAACAAGAAAAAAAAAUACAAGCUAGUGUUGCGAGAUCGUGUGCUUGAUUUGUGUUUGCGAGCAUGGUGGAAAACAACGGCGUUAUGGUGCUCUCGUGAGACAUAGUGAGGGUACAGGAUUCACGGAGGAGUUGCAUGUUUGUCACUAGGCAUGCAAUUGCAAUCGUAACUUGGUGUCUUCUAGCAUGGUCGUAACUAAACCCAGUUGCCAACUAAACCCAUCUCUCUCGACGCCGCCCCCUCCAACAAAACAAAGCCCUCCCCCCAGUUGCGACCAAGUUAGAAGACAUGCAGUUGCGUGCCUAGUGUGGGACAUGCAACUGGGCCCCAUCUCUUUUGACGUCGCUCCCUAUGACAAAACAAAGGCCCCCCACCUAGUUGUGACCAAUCUAGAAAAACAUGUGGCUGCGUUCCUAGUGNNNNNNNNNNNNNNNNNNNNNNNNNNNNNNNNNNNNNNNNNNNNNNNNNNNNNNNNNNNNNNNNNNNNNNNNNNNNNNNNNNNNNNNNNNNNNNNNNNNNNNNNNNNNNNNNNNNNNNNNNNNNNNNNNNNNNNNNNNNNNNNNNNNNNNNNNNNNNNNNNNNNNNNNNNNNNNNNNNNNNNNNNNNNNNNNNNNNNNNNNNNNNNNNNNNNNNNNNNNNNNNNNNNNNNNNNNNNNNNNNNNNNNNNNNNNNNNNNNNNNNNNNNNNNNNNNNNNNNNNNNNNNNNNNNNNNNNNNNNNNNNNNNNNNNNNNNNNNNNNNNNNNNNNNNNNNNNNNNNNNNNNNNNNNNNNNNNNNNNNNNNNNNNNNNNNNNNNNNNNNNNNNNNNNNNNNNNNNNNNNNNNNNNNNNNNNNNNNNNNNNNNNNNNNNNNNNNNNNNNNNNNNNNNNNNNNNNNNNNNNNNNNNNNNNNNNNNNNNNNNNNNNNNNNNNNNNNNNNNNNNNNNNNNNNNNNNNNNNNNNNNNNNNNNNNNNNNNNNNNNNNNNNNNNNNNNNNNNNNNNNNNNNNNNNNNNNNNNNNNNNNNNNNNNNNNNNNNNNNNNNNNNNNNNNNNNNNNNNNNNNNNNNNNNNNNNNNNNNNNNNNNNNNNNNNNNNNNNNNNNNNNNNNNNNNNNNNNNNNNNNNNNNNNNNNNNNNNNNNNNNNNNNNNNNNNNNNNNNNNNNNNNNNNNNNNNNNNNNNNNNNNNNNNNNNNNNNNNNNNNNNNNNNNNNNNNNNNNNNNNNNNNNNNNNNNNNNNNNNNNNNNNNNNNNNNNNNNNNNNNNNNNNNNNNNNNNNNNNNNNNNNNNNNNNNNNNNNNNNNNNNNNNNNNNNNNNNNNNNNNNNNNNNNNNNNNNNNNNNNNNNNNNNNNNNNNNNNNNNNNNNNNNNNNNNNNNNNNNNNNNNNNNNNNGACGCCACCCCCUCCUACAAAACAAAGCCCCCCCUUGUAUUAUAGUGUUUGGUGCCUCUCCCCGUACAAGAAAAAUGGAAGUUCGAGUUGCAACCAAGUUAUAAAGACAUGCAGUUGUGACAUGCUUGAAAAGACAUAUAGUUGCGUGUCUAGUGUGGGACAUGCAGUUGGUCACCUCUCUCUCUUGUUGUUUGCCCCUCCGAUAAAACAAAAUCCCCCCUAGUUGCAACCAAGCUAGAAGACAUGCAGUUGCGUGCCCAUUGUGUGACAUGCAAAAAAUUAAUGCCUUCUCCCCGUACAACAGGAAAAUGAAAGUUGAGUUGCAACCAAAGUUAUAGGGCAUGCAAUUGCGACCAAGUUAGAAGACAUGCAGUUGUGUGCCUAGUGUGAGACAUGUAAUUGCGCCCCAUCUCUCUCAACGUCGCCCCUCCAACAAAAAAACGAUCCCCAGUUGCGACCAAGCUGGAAGACAUGCAGUUGCGUGCCCAUCGUGGGACAGGCAACUGGCGCCUCUCCCCGUACAACAGAAAAUGGAAAGUCGAGUUGCAACCAAGUUAGAAAGACAUGCAGUUGCGUGCCUAGUGUGGGACAUGCAAACUGGUGUCUCUCCCCGUACAAACAAAAAAUGGAAGUCAAGUUGCAACCAAGUUAUAACACAUGCAGUUGCAACCAUGCUUGAAGACAUGCGGCUGCGUGCCUAGUGUGGGCAUGCAGGGCCCCCCUCUCUCUCUCUCUCGAUNNNNNNNNNNNNNNNNNNNNNNNNNNNNNNNNNNNNNNNNNNNNNNNNNNNNNNNNNNNNNNNNNNNNNNNNNNNNNNNNNNNNNNNNNNNNNNNNNNNNNNNNNNNNNNNNNNNNNNNNNNNNNNNNNNNNNNNNNNNNNNNNNNNNNNNNNNNNNNNNNNNNNNNNNNNNNNNNNNNNNNNNNNNNNNNNNNNNNNNNNNNNNNNNNNNNNNNNNNNNNNNNNNNNNNNNNNNNNNNNNNNNNNNNNNNNNNNNNNNNNNNNNNNNNNNNNNNNNNNNNNNNNNNNNNNNNNNNNNNNNNNNNNNNNNNNNNNNUCCCUAGUAUGAGACGUGCAACUGGGCCACAUGUCUCUCGACGCCACCCCUUCGACAAAACAAAGGCCCCCUAGUUGUGACUAAACUAGAAGACAUCUAGUUGCGUGCCUAGUGUUGGACAUGCAAUUGGGCCCCAUGUCUCUCGACGCCGCCUCCUCUAACAAUACGAAGGCGCCCCCCUAGUUGUGACCAAAAUCUAGAAGACAUCCAGUUGCAUGCCUAGUGUGGGACAUGCAACUGGACCCCAUGUCUCUUGAUGCCGCCCCCUCCAACAAAAUAAAGGGUGCCCCCUAGUUGCAACCAAAAAGCUAGAAGAUAUGUAGUUGCGUCCCUAGUGUGGGACAUGCAACUCGGUCCCGUGUCUCUCGAUGCCGCCCCCUCCAACAAAACAAAUGGUGCCCCUAAUUGUGACCAAAAAAGCUAGAAUACAUGCAGUUGAGUCCCUAGUGCGGGACAUGCAAAUGCGCCCCAUGUCUCUCGACGCCACCUCCUCCGACAAAACAAGGGUCCCCCCAAAAUUGCGUCCAUGCUCGAAGACAUGAAGUUGCGUGCCCAUUGUGGGGACAUGCAAAAAAACGGGCACCUCUCCCUGUACAAAAAAUGGAAGUCGAGUUGCAACCAAGUUAUAAAGACAUGCAAUUGCGUGCCUAGUGUGGGGCAUGCAACUGGGGCCCCUCUCUUGAUGCCGCAACAACCCCCCCUCCCCCAAGUUGUGACCAAGUUAGAAGACAUGUAGUUGUGUGCCUAGGGUGGGACAUGCAAACUGGUGUCUCUCCUCGUACAAACAAAAAAUAGAAGUCGAGUUGCAACCAGUUAUAACACAUGCAAUUGCUUCCAUUCUCGGGGACAUGUAGUUGCAUCCCCAGCUGUUUGGCAUGCAACUGGGACCCUCUCUCUCGAUGCUGCCCCAUCCGACAAAUCAAAAGGUCAAUCUCGAGUUGCGUGCCUAGUGGCAAGCGUGCAACCAUUCCUUUCCCCUGACAAGGAAACACAGAGUUGAAUCGGGGGCAACACUUACAGUUGCAUGCAUAGUGGUACACAUGCAAGUACCCCUUCCCCGACAAAAACACCACAUAGUUGCAAUCACGUUGAAGAUAUGCAAUUUGCGGUAGGGGGCGAUAUUUGCAGUUGCAUGGCUCAUGGCAUGCAUGCAAGUGCCCGGCCCGACAAAACACCACAAAAUUUCAGUCCGUACAUGACACUUGGAGUUGUGUGCCUAGUGAUAGACAAAUAAUUUUCCACUCCCAACAAAAUUCCACAUAGUUGCAGUCGCAUUGAAGGCAUACAUUUACGUCGGGGUGCGACACUUGCAUAUGUGCCUAGCGUUAAACAUGCAGCUGCCCCCUCCCCUGACAAAGAACAACUGAUUUACAGUCGAUGAAGUCAGGGAGAUUGUGCAACCAGAUGACAAUGAUGUAAAAUUUCAAAAAUAAAACUUGUUGAUCAGUAAAAAAUUAAAAAUAAGGUAACUAGAAUCGUGCCAAAAAGGUUUGAGAACAAUGAUAUAAAAGGAAAAAAAAUAAAAGCAAGAGAAAUGUGAAAAUAGAAAAUGUAAAAAGACAUUCAAACAUGACAAGGAACAUAGACGAAAGAAUCAUUUAAAACACUUACAAGCCCUGUUCAAGAAUUUAUCCGAUUAACCAGUUAACUUGCCGAUUAAUCCCUACUCGUAGGGUCACCGAGUAGCCUAUAAACCGAUAAAUCGUCCGAUUAAUUGAUUAAAUGGCCGAUUAACUUGCGGAUUAGCUGAUUAAUCCCCUACUCACCAGCCAACCGAGCAGCUACCAGUUAACGAUUUCCUCAACAAUGCUUACAAGUAAAUAAAAAACUAAAAAAGAUACAAAAUAGCUGCCCUCCGUAGUUCUCAGCUGCUUCCCCACCCCUCUUCGGACGGUUUGUUUCCCUCGUUGAAAAGUUAAGUGCAAAACUAGACAAAAAAUAAACCUCUCAAGCCGAGCCCAUAGCGCAUAUUUGGCCUACACAAGAGAAAAGAAACAAUAAAAGAAAAAGGAAAUUGGCCCAUCGCACACCUAAGCAAUCUAUUUUAAUAUAAGACAGACAUAGCGGCAUGGAUCUUGAAGCAACAACGAUCUAAUGGCCAGGGAGUCGACUGAGUUUUAACAGUCCCGUAUGAACCUAAAUAGAGAAAAAAAUAGUAGAAAAAAAUUAAAAAGUCGAGGCCUAUGAAAUAAAGUGCUUAGAGCAUCUCCAGCCGCGCCCCCAACAGCCCCCCCAGGCGACUUUUUCGGCACCGACACCAAAAAAACGGCCCAGUCGCGUCCCCAGGACGACGAAAAGCGCCGGUUCGGCCCUUUUUUCCGUUCGGCGGCCGCAGGCCGAACCCGACACACUUGGGGGCGCUUGGGGGCUCCGGCACAAGGGAAAAUUACGGCUGGCCCACGCGGUUAGGUGAAAAGUCAAGAUUUUCUUCCCCGACCGCCUCCCACCCCCGCGCUCUCGGCCGCAACUAGGUAUAUCCCGGCGCCGCCCCGCCGCCCUUCACCGGUAGAUAGACAUUCCCCGUUGGAAAAAUAGCAUAGGUUCGCCGCGACAGCCCCUCCGACACCAGCUGGGCGUUUCCGGCCGCCGUUUCCGGCCGCGGAGGGUCAGUUUAGUGGCGGGUGCACGCCCACCGCGCGCAAGGUGUUCGGCGAUUUGCCUACCUCAGCGAUGGACUCGGAUGACGAGGAAGUGCUCACCGCGCUGCUGGAGGAGGAAGCCGAGGCCGACGUCCAGGAAGAAGAGUAUCUCAUGGUGCUCGCCGCCCUCGCCCAGCUGCUGGCGAGCAAUGAAAAGCCGCGGCGAGGUGGCUCGGCGCCGGGGCGGGUUAAAGCAAAGAACCGGCAUCGUCUCGAAGGCUACUACAUGCUCUACUCCGACUACUUCGCCGAUGCUCCACUUCACGGCGACAGAACAUUUCGGCGCCAUUAUCGGAUGAGCAGAAAGCUUUUCCUCCGGAUUGUGAAUUCCAUCCGGGAGUUCGACAACUACUUCAAAUGCAAGAUGGAUUGCACCGGCAAACUUGGAUUCACCUCGAUCCAGAAAUGCACGACAGCGAUGAGGAUGCUUGCAUACGGAGCUCCCGGUGACGCACAGGACGACUAUGGGCGCAUGGCCUAGUCCACCAGCAUAGAGUGUUUCUACAAGUUCUGUCGGGCAGUGGUGGCAGUGUUUGGACCGCAAUACUUGAGAACACCCAAUGCGGAAGACACUGCUCGGAUCCUAGCAUAGAAUUCAGCAAGAGGAUUUCCUGGGAUGCUUGGAAGCAUCGACUGCAUGCAUUGGAAAUGGAAGAAUUGCCCAUUUGCUUGGCAGGGGAUGUACAAAGGCACCAAAGGCGGUUGCAGUAUGGUACUUGAGGCGGUGGCCACACAAGACCUCUGGAUUUGGCACUCCUUCUUUGGUAUGCCACGAACUCACAAUGACAUCAACGUGCUGCAGUUCUCUCUUGUCUUUGCCAAGCUUGUUGAAGGUCAUUCUCCUCCAGUGAACUUCGAGAUCAAUGGGCGGCAGUACAACAAGGGGUACUAUCUAGCUGAUGGCAUCUAUCCGAGAUGGUCGACAUUUGUCAAGACCAUCAAAAACACUGUUCCUGGAGGCAAGAAUGCCUGGUUUGCAAAGAUUCAAGAGGCUUGCAGGAAGGAUGUCGUGCGGGCAUUUGGUGUGCUCCAAUCUCGAUUUGCUGUUGUCCGGUACCCCACUCAGACCUGGUCGAAAGAUCAAAUGUGGGAGAUCAUGACCUGCUGUGUCAUCUUGCACAACAUGAUCAUUGAGAGCGAGUAGGAAGAUCCAGUGUUUGACACUGAACCAUACCACCGGCAGGGUCCUCUUACCCAAGUUGAUCACCAGCUACCGUCAACAUGGACUGCCUACCUCAGUAUGCGUCAGGAGAUCCGAGACCCACAGGUGCAUCAUCAACUGCAGCAAGAUCUGAUAGAGCACCUAUGGAGGCUCAAGGGCGACACCGGGCGUGACGUGUGAUGAAAUAUGAGUUUUUAUUUGUUGAACUAUAUAAUUUGUAUUGAACUAUUUGUUGUUGUACUAUUUUGUUGAAGUAUUUGAAAUUUCUGUGAUGAAAUAUGUAAUAAAAAAUAUUUAUUUUGAUAAUUGAACGCUGAGCCACGGCGAACCACGCCGAAUAUGGGCCUAUUCUCGCCCAUAUGGGCCUUUUUCGUCGAAAUGAGGCUUAAAAAACGGGCCAAAAUCGGCGACUGGGGGCGACGACUGGGCGCAAAACCGUCCCCAGCGCCGAAAGAGUCGCUGGCUCGCCCCCAGGGGCGAUUUUUAUGCGCCCUGGGGGGCCGAACGGCUGAAGAUGCUCUUAGUACUGCUACUAACUAAGAACAAAAAAACAUACACAAGUCACUUCACUCUAUCUGUUUGUUCCCUUCCUGUACGAAAACAUCAAAAAUAAAAUAUAAAACGGACCUAAACCUUGUAAAACAACUAGCAAAAUAAAGCUCAACACACAAAGAAAAGGACCCCCGCCCAGCCCACCAUCUCAAGCCUGCCCCGAUCAAAAAAGCAAAGACAAAAAAACAGGCCCACCCAGUUCGUUCCUUAUGUGUGCUGAUUUACAAGAAACAACAGGGCUGCACGGAUCCUAAAGCAACACAAAGAUCUAAGGGUCAACAAAUCGACUUAGACUUCACUAAAAAUCAGUCGACUGAUUUUUAGCAGAGCCGAUUAAUAAUUACUCCCUCUGUAAACAAAUAUAAGAACGUUUAGAUUACUACUUCAGUAAUUUAAACGCUCUCAUAUUUCUUUCCGGAGGGAGUAUUUCUCGUGUCGUCGAUUUCCCCUUUCGAUAUGUGGGUUCACAUUUUCAUUUUUGAGCUGCCCACCUGAAUUUUCAUUUCAAGCCGAAGAAUGGCAAACCGACAGGUUACAGGGUUUCCACCCGUUCAGAGAAGGGAAACAUUUCACGACGGGGCACCGACCGAAGCUUCGGCCGGUCGCGUCCACGCGCGAACGUACCGAAUAACUCACUUAGCGACACAUAGGAUGGGGGCCCCACCCACGUGCCUCUUCUCCCUCCUGUUUCUCUUCUUCCCUUCGCUUGUCUCUCUCUCUCCGCGCUGCCAUGGCCAAGCUUCGCCGGCCGGAGACCUCCCAGGGAGCGCCACCGCCAUGGGAAUCAGCCGAUCCGGCUGCCCUCGGACAGAUCUUCUCGGAUCCGCGCCACCGGAGCUCUGCAUGCCCUCGUCAGACCCGACCACAUUUGAGCUGCAACCCACCACGCACGGAGCUGCAACCGUUGAACCUUUUUCCUCCCGGAACGGCACCGCGGCGAUGAUGGCCAUGGGCAGGCGUGGGAGCUCGGCGGAGCAGCAGCAAGUAGCUAUGAAAAUGGUUGUAGCAAAUUCCAACACCGUUUGUAGCAAAACCAACUAUGGCUGCAGCAAAACGACAUCAUCGCCAUCGCGGGAUUCACAGCUAAGACAAUUAGUUUGAAGCUUUUUUCAAUGUCGGUUGUAGCUUUUGUAACCGCCUGUUGUAGCUUUUCAUUUGUCGUCCAUGGCUUACGGCUCCACGGUUGAAGCUUUUUUCAUCGUCGGAUGAAGCUUUUUCAUCGCCGGUUGUAGCUUUUCUUUGGUCGUUCAUAGUUUUUCGUCAUACGAGUUGAAACUUUUUUCAUAGCCGGUUGAAGCUUUUUUCGUCGUCGGAUGAAGCUUUUUUCAUCGCCGUUGUUGUUGGAAAUAUGCCCUAGAGGCAAUAAUAAAAUGGUUAUUAUUAUAUUUCUUUGUUCAUGAUAAUUGUCUGUUAUUCAUGCUAUAAUUUUAUUAUCCGGAAAUCAUAAUACACUUGUGAAUACAUAAACCACAACAUGUCCCUAGUGAGCCUCUAGUUGACUAGCUUGUUGAUCAACAAAUAGUCAUGGUUUCCUGACUAUGGACAUUGGAUGUCAUUGAUAACGGGAUCACAUCAUUAGGAGAAUGAUGUGAUGGACAAGACCCAAUCCUAAGCAUAGCUCAAAGAUCGUGUAGUUCGUUCAGCUAGAGAUUUUCCAAAUGUUAAGUAUCAUUUCCUUAUACCAUGAGAUUGUGCAACUCCCGGAUACCGUAGGAGUGCUUUGGGUGUACCAAACAUCACAACGUAACUGGGUGACUAUAAAGGUGCACUACGGGUAUCUCCGAAAGUGUCUGUUGGGUUGGCACGAAUCGAGACUGGGAUUUGUCACUUCGUAUGACGGAGAGGUAUCUCUGGGCCCACUCGGUAAUGCAUCAUCAUAAUGAGCUCAAUGUGACCAAGUGUCUGGUCACGGGAUCAUGCAUUACGGUACGAGUAAAGUGACUUGCCGGUAACGAGAUUAAACGAGGUAUUGGGAUACCGACGAUCGAGUCUCGGGCAAGUAACGUACCGAUUGACAAAGGGAAUUGAAUACAAGGUUGAUUGAAUCGUCGACAUCGUGGUUCAUCCAAUGAGAUCAUUGAGGAGCAUGUGGGAGCCAACAUGGGUAUGCAGAUCCCGUUGUUGGUUAUUGACCGGAGAGGCGUCUCAGUCAUGUCUGCAUGUCUCCCGAACCCAUAGGGUCUACACACUUAAGGUUCCAUGACGCUAGGGUUGUAGAGAUAUGAGUAUGCAGUAAAGUGAAAGUUGUUCGGAGUCCUGGAUGAGAUCCCGGAUGUCACGAGGAGUUCCGGAAUGGUCCGGAGGUAAAGAAUUGUAUAUAGGAAGUCAGGUUUCGGCCAUCAAGAAAGUUUCAGGAUACCGGGACCACCGGAAGGGUCAGGAGGGGGGGGUCCACCGGGUGGGGCCACCUAUCCCGGAGGGCCCCAUGGGCUCAAGUGGGAGGGGAACCAGCCCCUGGUGGGCUGCUGCGCCCCCCUUGGCCCCCCUGCGCCUAGGGUUGGGAAACCCUAGGGGUGGGGGCGCCUCCACCUGGCUUGGGGGGCAAGCCACCCCCCUGGCCGCCGCCCCCUUGGAGAUCCCAUCUCCUAGGGACGGCGCCCCCCUAGGGGCCCUAUAUAAAGAGGGGGGGGGGAGGGAGGGCAGCCGCACCCAUGCUCUUGGAGCCUCCCUCUUCCCUUGCUACACCUCUCCCUCUGGCAGACGCUUGGCGAAGCCCUGCCGAGAUCGCUGCUGCAUCCACCACCACGCCGUCGUGCUGCUGGAUCUUCAUCAACCUCUCCUUCCCCCUUGCUUGAUCAAGAAGGAGGAGACGUCUCCCUGACCAUACGUGUGUUGAAUGCGGAGGUGCCGUCCGUUCGGUGCUAGGAUCUCCGGUGAUUUGGAUCACGACGAGUACGACUCCUUAAACCCCGUUCCCUUGAACGCUUCCGCUCGAUCUACAAGUGUAUGUAGGUGCAGUCCUCUCUCUCAUUGCUAUAUGAACUCAUAGAUUGAUCUUGGUGAAACCGUAGGAAAAUUUUUAUUUUCUGCAACGUUCCCCAACAGUGGCAUCAUGAGCUAGGUCUAUGCAUAGUUCUCUUUGCACGAGUAGAACACAAAUCUGUUGUAGGCGUAGAUGUUGUCAACUUUCUUGCCACUACUAGUCUUAUUUUGCUUCAGCGGUAUUGUGGGAUGAAGCGGCCCGGACCGACCUUACACGUACGCUUACGUGAGACAGGUUCCACCGACUGACAUGCACUAGUUGCAUAAGGUGGCUAGCGGGUGUCUGUCUCUCCCACUUUAGUUGGAGCGGAUUCGAUGAAAAGGGUCCUUAUGAAGGGUAAAUAGAAGAUGACAAAUCACAUUGUGGCUUUUACAUAGGUAAGAAAACGUUCUUGCUAGAACCCUAUUGCAGCCACGUAAAACUUGCAACAACAAUUAGAGGACGUCUAACUUGUUUUUGCAGCAUAUGAUUUGUGAUGUGAUAUGGCCAAAAUUUGUGAUGAAUGAUGAAUGAUAUAUAUGUGAUGUAUGAGAUCAUGUUCUUGUAAUAGGAAUCACGACUUGCAUGUCGAUGAGUAUGACAACCGGCAGGAGCCAUAGGAGUUGUCUUAAUUAUUGUAUGACCUACGUGUCAUUGAUUUAAACACCAUGUAAUUACUUUACCUUAUUGCUAAACCAUUAGCCAUAGUAGUAGAAGUAAUAGUUGGCGAGCAACUUCAUGGAGACACGAUGAUGGAGAUCAUGAUGACGAAGAUCAUGGUGUCAUGCCGGUGACAAAGAUGAUCAUGGAGCCCCAAAGAUGGAGACCAAAGGAGCUAUAUGAUAUUGGCCAUAUCAUGUCACUAUUUAAUUGCAUGUGAUGUUUAUUAUGUUUAUGCAUCUUGUUUACUUAGAACGACGGUAGUAAAUAAUAUGAUCCCUCAUAAUAAUUUCAAGAAAGUGUUCCCCCUAACUGUGCACCGUUGCGAAAGUUUGUCGUUUCAAAGCACCACAUGAUGAUCAGGUGUGAUAGAUUCUAACGUUCACAUACAACGGGUGUAAGAUAGAUUUACACAUGCAAAACACUUAGGUUAACUUGACGAGCCUAGCAUGUACAGACAUGGCCUCGGAACACAAGAGACUGAAAGGUCGAACAUGAGUCGUAUGGAAGAUACGAUCAACAUGGAGAUGUUCACCGAUGAUGACUAGUCCGUCUCACGUGAUGAUCAGACACGACCUAGUCGACUCGGAUCAUGUAUCACUUAGAUGACUAGAGGGAUGUCUGAUCUGAGUGGGAGUUCAUUAAAUAAUUUGAUUAGAUGAACUUAAUUAUCAUGAACUUAGUCUAAAAACAUUUGCAAAUAUGUCUUGUAGAUCAAAUGGCCAGCGCUCAUGUCCACCUCAACUUCAACGCGUUCCUAGAGAAAACCAAGCUGAAAGAUGAUGGCAGCAACUAUACGGACUGCGUCCGGAACCUGAGGAUCAUCCUCAUAGCUGCAAAGAAAGAUUAUGUCUUAGAAGCACCGCUAGGUGAAGCUCCCAUCCCAAAGAACCAAGACGUCAUGAACACUUGGAAGUCUCGUGCUGAUGAUUACUCCCUCGUUCAGUGCGGCAUGCUUUACAGCUUAGAACCGGGGCUCCAAAAGCGUUUUGAGCAACACAGAGCAUAUGAGAUGUUCGAAGAGCUGAAAAUGGUUUUCCAAGCUCAUGCUCGGGUCGAGAGAUAUGAAGUCUCCGACAAGUUCUUCAGCUGUAAGAUGGAGGAAAAUAGUUCUGUCAGUGAGCACAUACUCAAAAUGUCUGGGUUGCACAACGGCUUGACUCAGCUGGGAGUUAAUCUCCCGGAUAACGCGGUUAUUGACAGAAUUCUUCAGUCGCUUCCACCGAGCUACAAGAGCUUUGUGAUGAACUUCAAUAUGCAGGGGAUGGAAAAGACCAUUCCUGAAGUAUAUUCAAUGUUGAAAUCAGCAGAGGUAGAGAUCAAAAAGGAACAUCAAGUGUUGAUGGUGAAUAAAACCACUAAGUUCAAGAAAGGCAAGGGUAAGAAGAACUUCAAGAAUGACGGCAAGGAAGUUGCCGCGCCCGGUAAGCCAGCUACUGGGAAGAAGACAAAGAAUGGACCCAAGUCUGAGACUGAGUGCUUUUAUUGCAAAGGGAAGGGUCACUGGAAGCGGAACUGCCCCAAAUACUUAGCGGACAAGAAGGCCGGCAACACUAAAGGUAUAUGUGAUAUACAUGUAAUUGAUAUGUACCUUACCAGUGCUCGUAGUAGCUCCUGGGUAUUUGAUACCGGUGCCGUUGCUCAUAUUUGUAACUCAAAACAGGAGCUGCGGAAUAAGCGGAGACUGGCGAAGGACGAGGUGAUGAUGCGCGUCGGGAAUGGUUCCAGAGUCGAUGUGAUCGCCGUCGGCACGCUACCUCUACAUUUACCUAUGGGAUUAGUUUUAAACCUCAAUAAUUUUUAUUUAGUGCCAGCUUUGAGCAUGAACAUUGUAUCUGGAUCUCGUUUAAUACGAUAUGGCUACUCAUUUAAAUCCAAGAAUAAUGGUUGUUCUAUUUAUAUGAGAGAUAUGUUUUAUGGUCAUGCCCCGAUGGUCAAUGGUUUAUUCUUAAUGAAUCUCGAACGUGAUGUUACACAUAUUCAUAAUGUGAAUACCAAAAGAUGUAAAGUUGAUAACGAAAGUCCCACAUACUUGUGGCACUACCGCCUUGGUCACAUUCGUGUCAAGCGCAUGAAGAAGCUCCAUGCUGAUGGACUUUUAGAGUCUCUCAAUUAUGAAUCAUUUGACACAUUCGAACCAUGCCUCAUGGGCAAAAUGACCAAGACUCCGUUCUCCGGAACAAUGGAGCGAGCAACCAACUUAUUGGAAAUCAUACAUACUGAUGUGUGCGGUCCAAUGAGCGUUGAGGCUCGCGGAGGAUAUCGCUAUGUUCUCACUCUCACUGAUGACUUAAGUAGAUAUGGGUAUGUCUACCUAAUGAAACACAAGUCUGAGACCUUUGAAAAGUUCAAGGAAUUUCAGAAUGAGGUAGAGAAUCAACGUGACCGAAAGAUAAAGUUCUUACGAUCAGAUCGUGGAGGAGAAUAUUAAAGUCACGAAUUUGGUACGCACUUAAGGAAAUGUGGAAUCGUUUUACAACUCACGCCGCCUGGAACACCUCAGCGUAAUGGUGUGUCCGAACGUCGUAAUCGCACUUUAUUGGAUAUGGUGCGAUCUAUGAUGCCUCUUACCGAUUUACCGCUAUCUUUUUGGGGAUACGCUCUAGAGAUAGCUACCUUCACUUUAAAUAGGGCACCGUCUAAAUCCGUUGAGACGACACCGUAUGAAUUAUGGUUUGGGAAGAAACCUAAGCUGUCAUUUCUAAAAGUUUGGGGAUGCGAUGCUUAUGUCAAGAAACUUCAACCUGAAAAGCUCGAACCCAAGUCGGAAAAGUGCAUCUUCAUAGGAUACCCUAAGGAAACCAUUGGGUAUACCUUCUACCUUAGAUCCGAAGGCAAGAUCUUUUUUGCCUAGAACGGGUCCUUUCUGGAGAAAGAGUUUCUCUCGAGAGAAGUAAGUGGGAGGAAUGUGGAACUUGAUGAAGUACUACCUCUUGAACCGGUAAGUAACGCAGCUCAGGAAGAAGUUCCUGUGGUGCCUACACCGACUGGAGAGGAAAUUAAUGACGAUGAUCAAGGUACUUCGGAUCAAGUCGCUACUAAACUUCAUAGGUCCACAAGGACACGUUCCACACCAGAGUGGUAUGGUAACCCUGUCCUGGUAAUCAUGUUGUUAGACAACGGUGAACCUUCGAACUAUGAAGAAGCGAUGGCGGGCCCAGAUUCCAGCAAAUGGCUUGAAGCCAUACAAUCCGACAUAGAAUCCAUGUAUGAAAACAAAGUAUGGACUUUGACAGACUUGCCCGAUGAUCGGCGAGCGAUAGAAAACAAAUGGAUCUUUAAGAAGAAGACGGACGCGGAUGGUAAUGUUACCAUCUAUAAAGCUCGACUUGUCGCUAAGGGUUAUCGACAAGUUCAAGGGGUUGACUACGAUGAGACUUUCUCUCCCGUAGCGAAGCUGAAGUCCGUCCGAAUCAUGUUCGCAAUUGCCGCAUACUAUGAUUAUGAGAUAUGGCAGAUGGGCAUCAAAAUGGCAUUCCUUAACGGUUAUCUUAAGGAAGAACUGUAUAUGAUGCAGCCAGGAGGUUUUGUUGAUCCUAAGAAUGCUAACAAGGUAUGCAAGCUCCAGCGAUCCAUUUAUGGGCUGGUGCAAGCAUCUCGGAGUUGGAACAUUCGCUUUGAUGAGAUGAUCAAAGCGUUUGGGUUUAUGCAGACUUAUGGAGAAGCCUACGUUUACAAGAAAGUGAGUGGGAGCUCUGUAGCAUUUCUCAUAUUAUAUGUAGAUGACAUACUUCUGAUGGGAAAUGAUAUAGAACUUUUGGACAUCAAUAAGGCCUACUUGAAUAAGUGUGUUUCAAUGAAGGACCUUGGAGAAGCUGCUUACAUAUUAGGCAUCAAGAUCUAUAGGGAUAGAUCAAGACGCCUCAUAGGUCUUUCACAAAACACAUACCUUGAUAAGAUAUUGAAGAAGUUCAAUAUGGAUCAGUCCAAGAAAGGGUUCUUGCCUGUAUUGCAAGGUGUGAGAUUGAGCUUGGCUCAAUGCCCGACCACGACAGAAGAUAAAGAAGAGAUGAGUGGCAUCCCCUAUGCCUCAACCAUAGGAUCUAUUAUGUAUGCCAUGCUGUGUACCAGACCGGAUGUAAACCUUGCCGUAAGUUUGGUAGGAAGGUACCAAAGUAAUCCCAGCAAGGAACACUGGACAGCGGUCAAGCAUAUCUUGAAGUACCUGAAAAGGACAAAGGACAUGUUUCUCGUUUAUGGAGGUGACGAAGAGCUCGUCGUAAAGGGUUACGUCGAUGCUAGCUUUGACACAGAUCUGGAUGACUCUAAGUCACAAACCGGAUACGUGUAUAUUUUGAAUGGUGGGGCAGUAAGCUGGUGCAGUUGCAAGCAAAGCGUCGUGGCGGGAUCUACAUGUGAAGCGGAGUACAUGGCAGCCUCGGAGGCAGCGCAUGAAGCAAUAUGGGUGAAGGAGUUCAUCACCGACCUAGGAGUCAUACCCAAUGCGUCGGGGCCGAUCAAACUCUUCUGUGACAACACUGGAGCUAUUGCACUUGCCAAGGAGCCCAGGUUUCACAAGAAGACCAGGCACAUCAAGCGUCGCUUCAACUCCAUUCGUGAAAACGUUCAAGAUGGAGACAUAGAUAUUUGCAAAGUACAUACGGACCUGAAUGUGGCAGAUCCGUUGACUAAACCUCUCCCUAGGGCAAAACAUGAUCAACACCAGAAUUCCAUGGGUGUUCGAUUCAUCACAAUGUAACAAGAUUAUUGAACUCUAGUGCAAGUGGGAGACUGUUGGAAAUAUGCCCUAGAGGCAAUAAUAAAAUGGUUAUUAUUAUAUUUCUUUGUUCAUGAUAAUUGUCUGUUAUUCAUGCUAUAAUUGUAUUAUCCGGAAACCAUAAUACACGUGUGAAUACAUAGACCACAACAUGUCCCUAUUGAGCCUCUAGUUGACUAGCUCGUUGAUCAACAGAUAGUCAUGGUUUCCUGACUAUGGACAUUGGAUGUCAUUGAUAACGGGAUCACAUCAUUAGGAGAAUGAUGUGAUGGACAAGAUCCAAUCCUAAGCAUAGCUCAAUGAUCGUGUAGUUCGUUUAGCUAGAGCUUUUCCAAAUGUCAAGUAUCAUUUCCUUAGACCAUGAGAUUGUGCAACUCCCGGAUACCGUAGGAGUGCUUUGGGUGUACCAAACGUCACAAUGUAACUGGGUGACUAUAAAGGUGCACUACGGGUAUCUUCGAAAGUGUCUGUUGGGUUGGCACGAAUCGAGACUGGGAUUUAUCACUUCAUAUGACGGAGAGGUAUCUCUGGGCCCACUCGGUUAUGCAUCAUCAUAAUGAGCUCAAUGUGACCAAGUGUCUGGUCAUGGGAUCAUGCAUUACGGUAUGAGUAAAGUGACUUACCGGUAACGAGAUUAAACGAGGUAUUGGGAUACCGACGAUCGAGUCUCGGGCAAGUAACGUACUGAUUGACAAAGGGAAUUGAAUACAGGGUUGAUUGAAUCCUCGACAUCGUGGUUCAUCUGAUGAGAUCAUCGAGGAUCAUGUGGGAGCCAACAUGGGUAUCCAGAUCCCUCUGUUGGUUAUUGACCGGAGAGGCGUCUCGGUCAUGUCUGCAUGUCUCCCGAACCCGUAGGGUCUACACACUUAAGGUUCGUGACGCUAGGGUUGUAGAGAUAUGAGUAUGCAGUAAACCGAAAGUCGUUCGGAGUCUCGGAUAAGAUCCCGGACGUCACGAGGAGUUCCGGAAUGGUCCGGAGGUAAAGAAUUAUAUAUAGGAAGUCAGGUUUCGGCCAUCGGAAAAGUUUCGGGGAUCACCCCUAUUGUACCGAGACCACCGGAAGGGUCCCGGGGGGGUCCACCGGGUGGGGCCACCUAUCCCGGAGGGCCCCAUGGGCUGAAGUGGGAGGGGAACCAGCCUCUGGUGGGCUGGUGCGCCCCCCCUUGGGCCCCCCUGUGCGUAGGGUUGGGAAACCAUAGGGGUGGGGGCGCCUCCACCUGGCUUGGGGGCAAGCCACCCCCCUGGCCGCUGCCCCUCCUUGGAGAUCCCAUCUCCUAGGGCCGGCGCCCCCCUAGGGGCCCUAUAUAAAGAGGGGUGGAGGGAGGGCAGCCGCACCCAUGCUCUUGGCGCCUCCCUCUCGCCUUGCUACACAUCUCCCUCUCACAGACGCUUGGCGAAGCCCUGCUGAGAUCGCUGCUGCAUCCACCACCACGCCGUCGUGCUGCUGGAUCUUCAUCAACCUCUCCUUCCCCCUUGCUUGAUCAAGAAGGAGGAGACGUCUCCCUGACCAUACGUGUGUUGAAUGCGGAGGUGCCGUCCGUUCGGUGCUAGGAUCUCCGGUGAUUUGGAUCACGACGAGUACGAUUCCUUCAACCCCGUUCCCUUGAACGCUUCCGCUCGAUCUACAAGGGUAUGUAGAUGCACUCCUCUCUCUCAUUGCUAGAUGAACUCAUAGAUUGAUCUUGGUGAAACCGUAGGAAAUUUUUUAUUUUCUGCAACGUUCCCCAACAGUUGUAGCUUUUCUUUGGUCGUUCAUAGUUUUCCGUCGUACGAGUUGAAAUUUUUUUCAUAGCCAGUUGAAGCUUUUUUCGUUAGCGAUUGUAGCUUUUUCCAUCGUCGGUUGCAGCACUGGACAUCUCCCAUGGCGCUCAAUUUUUUUGUUGCAACCUGGAUAUGAGCACGUGGCGAGCACACCGGUUAGCACGUCGGUGAGCUCCGGUCGUCGCCACCCGAGCUACAACGGUGGCCAUGGAAGCUACAACCGCAUGGUUGGGCUGUUGCAUGGGGCGAAGCCGGUGACGCGGAUGGCUGCCAAGGACUGGGACCGGCGACUAGGGCGGCUGGGAAAGACGGCCGGCGAGGACGAUGACCAGUGACUAGGAGGGCAGGAGAGGGAGGGGCAGCGACAAGGAGGGACGCAUGCGGCCGGCAAGACGGGGUUCACGAGAGGAAGACGACGCUCGUACGUGCUCGCGAGAGUAAGACGAUCACCUGGUUGGAUAAGGAUCCAACGGUUCAGGACGGGCUAAUCUGACGGCUAGGGUGCGACCGGCCAAAACGUUCAGCCGGCGCACCGGCGCCUAGCAUCGCCCUUCAGAGAAACAGGGGUCGAUGUUGCGCACUACUGCAGACAGGGUAAGGCAUUGGUCACGAAAAAUCAUGGCACGCCGGGAAGCCUACCGAGCGUACGUGCGCGCUGCCUAUGACUGUGAGCAAUGAUACUGGGUUUUUUGCGUGGGUCUUGGCUAGGCCCGGCCUGGCCUGAGGUAUGGCCAAGUAUAGGUAUAAUGCUACACCUAGGUGCAUACAGAUACUAAAGUUGGUUGACGAUGUGACUUUCCCUCUCUCUAGGGUUUCUACCUUCUCUCACUGCCAUUGGCGACGUUGAGUAACUUUUGUCCUUCACCGCCGCCCGUCUGACCUCUUCUGCUCAGGCUGACCAUGGGGCAGUCUGAUACUGCUUCCCGGCCUUGGUGGGAGGAUAGACGUGGCGGGUGGUGUUAGGGUUUUGGUGGUGGGUUUCGGCGGAGCCGAAGCAGUGCGAUCGGUUUCGCUCUUCCUAAGAGGGCGGAGCAAGGAACAAUGGCAUCGACCAGCAGCAAGGGGAAGGGAAAGCUCGAGGAUCUGAUGGAGGAACUCGCCCUAAAAUAAGAUGACCUAGAUGAUGUCGUUUUCGAGGAGGAUGAUGCGCCACCGGCGGAGGAUCUUCGGUGGAUGAUCUUGGUUCGUGUCCACAUCGACAAAGACUUCAGCAAUUACUGGUUUUUUCGCAACAUGCGAUCAGCUUGGGAUCUCGCAAGAAGGGUCAAGAUAAAAACCCUAGAGGAGAACUUGUUCAUUAUGCAGUUUGAGUGCCUUGGAUAUUGGGAAAGAGUGGCACAAGGGGGGCCAUGGCACUUUUGGGGUCACCCCAUGAUCAUCGUGCCCUAUGAUGGUUAUUCCAAGCCCUCAUCGAUUGAGUUGUUCACGUUCGAGAUCUGGGCAAGAAUUCUUGAUCUACCAAUCGCUUAUCACGGAAAGGUAAAAGCCUUGGCAGCAAAGAUUAGCGAGUUUGUGGAGUCUGAGCCCUCAUCCUUUGACUUUGAAGGCAAUUUCUAUAGAGUGAGAGUUCGCCUAGAUGUUCAAAAGCAGCCGAAGAAAGCGACUUCUAUAGUCCACAAUGGCCAGCGAGAAAUUUUUGCUGUAAAAUACGAGCGUCUCCCAGAUUGGUGCCAGGUGUGUGGCAUGAUGGGCCACGAAUUCAAGGAACAUGGAGAUGGUGUUCACCCUCCCUCUGCACUUGUGUUUAAGAACCUCAGAGCACCUGUGGCUACGGCAUGGGGCACAAAAUGUCGCAAUAACGGGCAAAGGAAUAGGGGAAAGAACGGAGGAGGCAUCUUAGGACAGAAUAUGCAAGAAGAGGAGAAGGAAUGUGAUGACACUGACAUGGAUGAAAACGACGCAAGUCGCAAGAGGACUUCUGAAGAAGUAGUGGGUGCAAUCGCUCCUGCAGUGGCUAGCACAACUCUGGACAUUGUUCCCGUAGGGACGAACAAUGGGGGUGCUCAGAAUCUACCCAUUAGCCCACCUCCAAAGCAGGAACCUAAGCAUUUGAGACUAUCGCAGCAGACAGAGAAGGGGCAGAACAUGGGUGGAAGGAAGAACACAGUGGCUAUGAAGAUUCUUGAUGCUAAAUCGGCGGCCUCCCCGGUGGAGGACCGCUGGGCACAAUGAGUUUCCUUGGCUGGAACUGCCGGGGACUAGGCAACGCCCCGACAGUUCAAGAGCUACGAGAAAUCGUUAUAAAGUUUGCCCCUAGAGUACUUUGCAUCAUUGAAACACAGAUUGGUCAAGAUAGAGCUGAAAAUUUAUCACGUACUCUAGGUUUUGAUUCUUCUUUUGCAGUUGGUUCCACCGGUAGGAGUGGUGGUUUAGCUUUGUAUUGGAAUAAUGAAAUAAAGCUUGAGAUUUUGGGUUAUUCGCAGUACCAUGUUGAUGCAAAGAUUUCUGACAUGGGACGGGACCCUUGGAGGCUCUCGUGUUUUUAUGGAGAGGCGCAAACACAUCUCCGGUAUAGAACGUGGGACAUAAUGAAAAACCUAGUAGCACUCCAAAACUUGCCGCGGUUGUGCAUUGGGGAUUUCAACGAGGUUCUACGCUAUGAUGAGCACGAAGGAAUUGGUCAGAGAAGUCAAACUCAGAUCCAAGGUUUUCGAGAUGCGGUUGAUGUGUGUGGAUUGAUUGACCUCGGCUUCCAGGGCCGUAAGUGGACGUUCGAAAAGAAGGUGACGGGUGGAUCAUAUACAAGAGUAAGACUUGAUAGGGCUUUGGGCUCGCCCGAGUGGUGCGCUCGGUUUCCGCUAGCAGUGGUUGAUCAUCUUACAGUAGCUACCUCUGACCACUCUCCUAUAAACCUGAUGUUGUUUCCACCGGACAGAGGGAAGAAAGGAGAAAAGCAAUUUAGGUAUGAGUGCAUGUGGGACACGCAUCCGGAGCUAAUCCCCACGGUCCAGCGUGCAUGGGAGUUGAACGGCCCCAAUCUUACGGCGGCAGAAGUCCGAGCUAACCUACAAUCCUUGUCUAAUAACUUGGGCGAGUGGAGCAAGUCAACUUUUGGGAGUGUUAAAUCACAAAUAAGAAGGCUGAAAAGAGAUCUGGAGCGUCUGAGGAGUGACCCAGCAAUGACUGCUCCGGGCCAUGUUGAGAUCAAAAUAAAUGAUAGAUUGAUUGAGCUAUAUCUUCAGGAAGAAAUAAUGUGGCGCCAGAGAUCACGAGUAGCAUGGCUUUCAGAGGGGGAUAGGAAUACACACUUUUUCCAUUUCAGAGCUUCAAGUAGAUGGCGCAAGAACUUAAUAAAGUCUUUACAGAAGCAAGAUGGGCAACUCACGGAUGAUUUGACAGAGAUGCAGCAGAUGGCACUUGACUUUUAUAAAGCCCUAUACACUUCAGAGGGGGUUGAAGGUUUUUUUUUGACUAUGUACUGCAAGGAAACAGCCGCACAGUCCUUUAUUAAUUAAAAGAAGAUAAGUUACAACUUUAUAAAUGUACAAAGAAAGCGAAAAGAUACUUACAAAAGAAAGACUAAGUAAGGUUAGCUAUCCAAGCUAGAAAACUAUCUUUAAAUUUAGAUCUAAUCCUGUGAGACAGAAGAGAGAUGUCAUGUAUAAAGUUUCUUCUCCAAGCUCUAAAUGAAGGUUGUUCAUUUCUGAAGAUUUUCUCAUUCCUUUGUAUCCAAAUAUUCCAAGUAGCAGUGAAAACAACCUCAGAGAAGAAAGGGUGACCAAAAUCCUUCCUAGCUGCUUGUGCCAUAUCAUAUGUGGUUUGGUUCGGUUGAAAAGUCCAAGAAAUCCCAAGAUAGUUCCAAACCCUUUGGCUAAAAUUGCAAGCAAAGAAAAGGUGAGCUCGAUCCUCAUGUUGUGCAAGAUUGCAUAGAACACAAGUAUCAUCCUGGAUGAUCCAUUGCCUAUGUUGCAUCAUAUCCCUGGUGUUCAAACGAUCCAUUAGCAGGAGCCAACCAAAAACUUUGAUCUUUAGCGUGCAUGCACACUUCCAAAUCCACUUGAGUAUGGGAUCCACCACCAGGUGUGAGAAGCAAGAAUCAUAGUAUAUCUUUGCCAUAUAGGCGCCAGACUUUGAAGGCCACAUCCAAGUGUCCUUACUCUCACCAUUCAAAUUGAUCAAAGGUAGAAGGGACUGUAAUUGUGUGAAUUCUGAGAAGGCCUCCUGUGAUAGUGGUAAAUGGAAAUGAUCCAAGAUAUCAGGCCGCUCAAUAAAGUCUUUAACUGUGAUUGCAUCAUCCACAACAAAAGAAUGGAGCCUCGGAAAACAGUCGUGUAACAAGACAACAUGAUUUCCCAGCUGCCAACGGUCGAGCCAAAAGAGUAUCGUGUCACCAGCAUGAACUUGUGGAACCGCCAGAUUGCAAAAUUUUGGGUAUAAACGCAUGGUAUCACGCCACCAAAAUGAACCACAGACCUUGGUGCUUUGGGGUGGUGACGAUGCGUAAUAGGUGUCCCAGAUUAAAGAUACCCAAGGCAUGUCCACUUUAUUGAAAAACUUGAAGAGAUGCUUAAGUAGCAAAGCCUCAUUUUGGGUGGCCAAAUUAAGAACACCCAAACCUCCAAAGCACUUAGGGCGACAGACUAAAUCCCAAGCAGCCAGAGAUUGUCGUGGGUUAUCGGUGUUACCUCUCCACAAGCACUGCCUCAUGAUCCGCUCCAACUGUUGUAUAAUGCCCUUUAGGAGAUAUAAAGUGCACAAAAAAUAUAUAGGCAUGGAGCACAACACCGACUGAAGAAGUUGCAGUCGGCUCCCUUGGUUUAGUAAGCAUGAAGAGGCAGAUAAAUGGCGCUCAAUACGAUCCACCAGAGGCAUCAGAUCAUAGAUGGUCGGCCUAGAAGUUCCCAUUGGCAAACCAAGAUACGUGAAAGGCAUCGUGCCAACGUCGCAUCCCAACAAAGAGGCCACUCUGACACCUUCCUCAUCAUACAUGUUUAUACGAAUGAGUGAAGACUUACUAAAAUUAACUCGCAAACCAGUUGACUCAGCAAAAGUGACAAGCAUCUCCUUGAAAGCAACAAGCUGUUCAUCAAUGGCAGGCAGCACAAUUAAUGUGUCGUCGGCAUAUUGCACUAUUGGGUAAUCAUUGGAGUUUGUUGGGAUUGGCAGAGAAAGGAUAUUCCUGGAGCACAUCUCAUUGACUACAGAUUGUAAUAAAUCUACUGUAAUCACAAAUACAAUGGUGAUAGGGGGUCUCCUUGACGCACUCCAGUUCUGCAGACAAAAUGUUUCCCUGGCACACCGUUAAGAAGCACAGAAGAGGAUUCCGUUGACAAAAUACUAUUGAUCCAACCAGUCCACCUGGAAUCAAAUCCCUUGCAUUGCAAAAUUUUGAGAAUUAGAUCAUGCUCAAUUGUAUCAAAGGCCUUCGUAAAAUCCAUCUUGAGGAGGACAAUGGGGCGCUUGGAGGCCUUGCAUUGGUGUAUAUACUCGAAACACCAGGCUAAGCAAUCUUGGAUAGAACGACACCGAAGAAAACCAUAUUCAUUGCGGUGGAUGCAUCACAGAAUCACAUUCUGGAGCCGGUUAGCAAGCAGCUUUGUCAAAAAUUUCAAGCACGUGUUGGUCAAUGAGAUUGGCCUAAAAUCUCCGACAACUUCAGGACUUAGCUUCUUAGGUAUCAGAGUAAUUAAUGAGGUAUUAAGACAUUCUAAGUUGCACCUCCCCUCAUAAAACUCCUUGACAAGUUGCAUGAAAUCCUCCUUUAGAAUUAGCCGACACCUCUUUAAGAACAGACCAGAAAAGCCAUCGGGACUAGGGGCACGGUCUGGUGGCAUGUUCUUAAUGACAACAUCAACCUCAGAAUCAGUGAAAGGCUGGGACAGAUCUUCAAGGCCAUCAACUCUUGCAAUUAAUGUGUCCAAAUCAAAACCCAUGCGAAUUCCUUUUGCAUUGCCCAUUCUUUGAUUAAAAUCCGACCAAAACAUGCUCGCAAGUUGUUGGUGAUCCGAGACCACAUCACCAUCAGAAUUCUUGAGAGAAGAAAUUGUGUUUCUCCUAUACCUUUCCGUGGCCAUGGCAUGGAAAAACUUCGAGUUUUCCUCUCCAACUUUAAUGCUGCAUAUAGUACAACGCUGCUUCCAAUAUACAUACUGCGAAUGUAAAAUAUCUUCCAAAUGCAAUUUCACAAUUCGCCUGAAUAUAAACUCAGGCCUUGACAAAGGCCUAAUCUCCUCCAGCCCAUCAAAGAAUAGGAUCACCUUGUUGCAAUCAGAAAUUAAUGCUGUAAGUGUGGACAAAUUCAUGUGCCAUUUCUUGAGUGCAUACCUUAGCGCUUUGAAUUUCGAGGAAAUAUUUAGGGUAGCCGAUUGUCUGGCCACUGAUUUGCUCCAAACUUGUGCUACAAGGUCAUAAAAUCCAGGCAAAUCAAUCCAAUAAUUUUCAAAGCGAAAGAUUUUAGCCUUAGGAAUCGCAGUAGCAAUCGAGACGAUGCAUGAAACAUGAUCAGAGGCUGUUCGUGCAAGUGGCAGAACUAGCGUGUUAGGAUGAUCCGUGGUUGAUACGUCUCCAACGUAUCUAUAAUUUUUGAUUGCUCCAUGCUACUUUAUCUACUGUUUUAGGCCAUAUUGGGCUUUAUUAUCCACUUUUAUAUUAUUUUUGGGACUAACCUAUUAACCGGAGGCCCAGCCCAGAAUUGCUGUUUUAUGCCUAUUUCAGUGUUUCGGGGAAAAGGAAUAUCAGACGGAGUCAAAACGGAACGAAAUCAACUGGAGAAGUUAAUUUUGGAAGGAAACCUACCGGAUGGACUUGGACCCCAUGUCAGGAGCCAAGGGAGGUGCUCACGAGGGUGGGGGGCGCCGCCCUGGGCGCGCCCCUGCCUCGUGGGACCCCCAUAGCUCCACCGACGUACUUCCUGCACCCAUAUAUACCUACGUACCCAAAAACUUCCAGAACAGAACCUAGAUCGGGAGUUCCGCCGCCGCAAGCCUCUGUAGCCACCAAAAACCAAUCAAGACCCUGUUCCGGCACCCUGCCGGAGGGGGAUCCCAUCACCGGAGGCCAUCUUCAUCAUCCCGGUGCUAUCCAUGAUGAGAAGGGAGUAGUUCACCCUCGGGGCUGAGGGUAUGUACCAGUAGCUAUGUGUUUGAUCUCUCUCUCUCUCUCUCUCUCUCUCUCGUGUUCUCUCUCGUGUUCCUCUAUGGCACGAUCUUGAUGUAUCCCGAGCUUUGCUAUUGUAGUUGGAUCUUAUGAUGUUUCUCCCCCUCUACUCUCUUGUGAUGAAUUGAGUUUCCCCUUUUGAAGUUAUCCUGUUGGAUUGAGUCUUUUAUGAGAACACUUGAUGUAUGUCUUGCCGUGAUUAUCUGUGGUGACAAUGGGAUAUCAUGUGCCACUUGAUGUAUGUUUUGGUGAUCAACUUGCGGGUUCCGCCCAUGAACCUAUGCAUAGGGGUUGGCACACGUUCUUGACUCUCCGGUAGUAGCUUUGGGGCACUCUUUGAAGUACUUUUAUGUUGGUUGGAUGAAUCUGAGAUUAUGUGACGCAUAUCGUAUAAUCAUGCCCAAGGAUACUUGAGGUGACAAUGGAGUAUCUAGGUGACAUUAGGGUUUUGGUUGAUUUGUGUGUUAAGGUGUUAUUCUAGUAUGAACUCUAUGAUGGAUUGAGCGGAAAGAAUAGCUUUAUGUUAUUUUACUACGAACUCUUGAAUAGAUAGAACAGAAACGAUAACUUUGAGGUGGUUUCAUACCCUACCAUAAUCUCUAAGUUUUUUCUCUGCUAUUAGUGUCUUUGGAGUGACUCUUUGUUGCAUGUUGAGGGCUUGUUAUUUGAUCUAUCUAUGUUAUUAUUGUUGAGAGAACUUGCACUAGUGAAAGUAUGAACCCUAGGCCUUGUUUCCUAUCAUUGCAAUACCGUUUACGCUCACUUUUAUCACUCGCUACCUUGCUGUUUUUAUAAUUUCAGAUUACAAUUACCUUUAUCUACUAUCUAUUUUGCACUUGUAUCUUCAUCUCUUCGCCGAACUAGUGCACCUAUACAAUUUACCAUUGUAUUGGGUGUGUUGGGGACACAAGAGACUCUUUGUUAUUUGGUUGCAGGGUUGUUUGAGAGAGACCAUCUUCAUCCUACGCCUCCUACGGAUUGAUAAACCUUAGGUCAUCCACUUGAGGGAAAUUUGCUACUGUCCUACAAACCUGUGCACUUGCAGGCCCAACAACGUCUACAAGAAGAAGGUUGUGUAGUAGACAUCAAGCAGUUUCUGGCGCUGUUGCCGGGGAGGUGAGUGCUUGAAGGUAUAUCUUUAGAUCUUGCAAUCGAAUCUUUUUGUUUCUUGUUUUAGCACUAGUCUAGUUUAUAAAAGAAAAUUACAAAAAAAUGGAGUUAAGUUGGCCGCAUACGCUUCACCUUUUUAAUAUCUUUCGUGAGUAUGAUGGAAAAGAAAAUUGUGCUCAAGUGCUAGAAGAAGAAUUACAUAGAAUUCUUGGCAUAAAAUAUGUGAAUGAUGAGCAUGAUUGCAAUGUCGUUAGUACGAAUUCUUUGAAUAUCCAUGAUGCUAAUGAUAUGCAAAGCCACAAGCUUGGGGAAGCUAUGUUUGAUGGAGAUGAUAUUUUUUGUCCCCCAAGCUUUGAUGAGCAAAUUUACUAUGAUGAAGGCAUGCCUCCUAACUAUGAUGAUUAUUGUGAUGACACGUAUGCUUUAAAGAAUAAUGAUAAUCAUGAAACGUGUCAUCUUGAUCUUAAUUUUCAAUCACAUGAUAGUUAUUUUGUUGAGUUUGCUCCCACUACUAUUCAUGAGAAGAAAUUUGCUUAUAUUGAGAAUAGUAAAUUUUCUAUGCUAGUAGAUCAUGAAAAGAAUGCUUUAGGUGCUGGUUAUAUUUUUGAAUUCAUUCAUGAUGUUACUGAAAAUUAUUAUGAGGGAGGAAUAUAUGCUUGUAGGAAUUGCAAUAAUAUCAAGUUUCCUCUCUAUGUGCUUAAAUUCUUGAAGCUAUGCUUGUGCUACCUUCCUAUGCUAGGUGAUUAUUGUUCCCAUAAGUUGUUUGCUCACAAAAUCCCUAUGCAUAGGAAGUGGUUUAGGCUUAAAUGUGCUAGUCAUAUGCUUCAUGAUGCUCCCGUUAUGUUUCAAUUCUUAUCUUUUAUGUGAGCAUCAUUGCCAUCAUCAUGCCUAGCUAGAAAGGCAUUAAAGAAAAGCGCUUGUUGGGAGACAACCCAAUAUUUAUCCUUACUGUUUUUGUGUGUACACAUGAUUAUUCUACUGUAUUAAUCAUGUUUUAUAGCUUAUGUUUCAAUAAAUUGCCAAGUAGAACCUUUGGGAAGACUUUGGUGAAGUUUAUAUGAUCUUGCUGUAGAAAACAGAAACUUUUGCGCUCACGAGAAUGGCUGCCAUGUUUUACUGAAGAGUGAUUUUAGAUUGAUUCUUUUUUCAGAUGAUUAAUAGACAAAUUUCGCAAGUCCAGCAAUUUAUUUCAUAAUUUUUGGGGUUCAGAAGUAUACGUUUGAUACAGAUUACUACAGACUGUUCUGUUUUUGACAGAUUCUGUUUUCUAUGUGUUGUUUGCUUAUUUUGAUGCAUCUAUGGCUAGUAUUAAGUGGUAUGAACCAUAUAUAAGUUAGAAUACAGUACAUAUUACACCAAUAUGAAUUUAUAAUGAGUUCAUUACAGUAUCUAAGUGGUGGUUUUAUUUUCUUAUACUAACGGAGCUUACGAGUUUUGUUUUGAGUUUUGUGUGGUUGAAGUUUUCAAGUUUUGGGUAAAGAUUCGAUGGACUAUGGAAUAAGGAGUGGAAAGAGCCUAAUCUUGGGGAUGCCCAAGGCACCGCAAGGUAAUAUUCAAGGACAACCAAGAGCCUAAGCUUGGGGAUGCCCCGGAAGGCAUCCCCUCUUUCGUCUUCGUUCAUCGGUAACUUUACUUGGAGCUAUAUUUUUAUUCGCCACAUGAUAUGUGUUUUGUUUGGAGCGUCAUUUUAAUUUGUUAGUUUUUUCUUACUGUUAGUUAGAAUAAUGUUUUGCAUCUUUAGUUUCAAUAAAAAAGGUCAAGGAUAGACUUUGCCAUGCUUAUUUUGCUAGUUUGCAUGUUGCUGUUUGAAAACAGAAAGUUUACCGCUGUUGCAAAAAUUCCCUAGAAAAGUCAGAGAAUGGUAUAAUGUUGAAUCUUUUUGCAUAUUGAGCUCUGAUAAAUUUAUUACAGUGGGAAUUUUAGUUCAUAAUUUUUGGAGUCAGGGAAGUAUUGUUUCUCUUGAAUUCUUUACAGACUGUACUGUUUUGGCAGAUUACUGUUAUGGUUGCAUUGUUUGCAUAUGUUUGCUUGUUUAAUGAUUCUAUUUGAGGAUAGAAGUAUUAAUUAUGCAGAGACAUUUAGUAUUAAAUGUUGAAUAAUAAUGUUAGUGAUUUGUUACAGUAGAAGAUGAUAAGGUUUUUGCAUUGGCUUAUACUAACCUAUCUCGGGAGUUCUUGUUGAGUUUGUUGUGAAUGAAGCUUUUGAUAAAAAAAGAAACCAUGAUAUGAGAGGAAUUAAGGAGACACAAAAGCUCAAGCUUGGGGAUGCCCAAGGCACCCCAAGAUAAUAUUUCAAGAAGUCUCAAGAAUCUAAGCUUGGGGAUGCCCCGGUAGGCAUCCCACCUUUCUUCUUCAACAACUAUCGGUUAGUAUCAGUUGAGCCUAAGUUUUUGCUUCUUCACAUGAGUUGUGCUAUCCUUGCAUUAUAGUUUUCUUUAGCUUUGCUUGCUGUUUGAAUACAAUACCAAGAUCUGAAAUUCUUUUAUGAGAGAGAGCCUUACACCAAUUGGAAUUUGCUAGAAUACUCUAUGUGCUUCACUUAUAUCUUUUGAGCUUGAUAAUUUUUGCUCUAGUGCUUCACUUAUAUCUUUUAGAGCACGGUGGUGGAUUUGUUUUAAAGAAACUAUUGAUCUCUCAUGCUUCACUUAGAUUAUUUUGAGAGUCGUUAAUAGCAUGGUAAUUUGCUUAAAGAUAAUAUACUUGGUAUUCAAGAUAUGUGAAACUUUCUUUUGAGUGCGUUGAAUACUAAGAUAAGUUUGAUGCUUGAUAAUUGUUUUGAGAUAUGGAGGUGAUAAUAUCAAAGCAAUGCUAGUUGGGGUGAUCAUGAAUUUAAAGAGUGCUUGUGUUGAAGUUUGUGAUUCCCAUAGCAUGCACGUAUGGUGAAUUGCUUGUGAUGAAGUCAGAGCACAAUUUUAUUUAUUGAUUGUCUUCCUUAUGAGUGGCAGUCGGGGGCGAGCGAUGGUCUUUUCCUACCAAUCUAUCCCCCUAGGAGUAUGUGUUUAAUGCUUUGGUUUUUAACGACUUCUAAAUUUUUGCAAUAAGUGCAUGAGUUCUUUUGAUUAAUGUUGAGUCCAUGGAUUAUACGCACUCUCUCACCCUUCCACCAUUGCUAGCCCCUCUAAUACAGCGCACUUUUUGCCGGUAUCAUACACCCACCAUAUACCUUCCUCAAAACAGCCACCACACCUACCUAUCAUGGCAUUUUCAUAGCCAUUCCGAGAUAUAUUGCCAUGCAACUCUCCACCGUUCCGCUCAUAUGACACACAUUACUUUUGUCAUACUGCUUUUUGCAUGAACAUGUAGUUGACAUUGUAUUUGUGGCAAAUCCACCGUUCAUAAUUCUUUCAUACAUGUCACUCUUGAUUCAUUGCAUAUCCUGGUACACCGCCGGAGGCUUUCAUAUAGAGUCAUAUUUUGUUCUAAGUAUCGAGUUGUAAUUUUUGAGUUGUAAGAAAAAUAAAAGUGUGAUGAUCAUCAUUAUUAGAGCAUUGUCCCAGUGAGGAAAAGAAUGAUGGAGACUAUGAUUCCCUCAUAAGUCGGGAUGAGACUCCGGACUUUAUGAAAAAUAAAAGAGGCCAAAGAAGCCCAAAUACAAAAAAAAGGAGUGGCCAUAACAAAAAGAAAAAAAGAGAGGAGAAAGGCCAAAUAAAAAAAUGAGAGAAAAAGAGAGAAGGGACAAUGCUACUAUCCUUUUUCCACACUUGUGCUUCAAAGUAGCACCAUGAUCUUCAUGAUAGAGAGUCUCAUAUGUUGUCACUUUCAUAUACUAGUGGGAAUUUUUCAUUAUAGAACUUGGCUUGUAUAUUCCAAUGAUGGGCUUCCUCAAAAGUGCCCUAGGUCUUCGUGAGCAAGCAAGUUGGAUGCACACCCACUUAGUUUCUUUUGUUGAGAUUUCAUAUACUUAUAGCUCUAGUGCAUCCGUUGCAUGGCAAUCCCUACUCACUCACAUUGAUAUCUAUUGAUGGGCAUCUCCAUAGCCCGUUGAUACGCCUAGUUGAUGUGAGACUAUAUUCUCCUUUUUGUCUUCUCCACAACCACCAUUCUAUUCCACCUAUAGUGCUAUGUCCAUGGCUCACGCUCAUGUAUUGCAUGAAAGUUGAAAAAGUUUGAGAUUUCUAAAGUAUGAAACAAUUGCUUGGCUCGUCAUCGGGGUUGUGCAUGAUUAAAUACUUUGUGUGAUGAAGAUAGAGCAUAGCCAGACUAUAUGAUUUUGUAGGGAUAACUUUCUUUAACCAUGCUAUUUUGAGAAGACAGGAUUGCUUUGAUUAGUAUACUUGAAGUAUUAUUACUUUUAUGUCAAUAUGAACUUUUGUCUUGAAUCUUUUGGAUCUGAAUAUUCAUGCCACAAUUAAGAAGAUAUACAUUGAAAUUAUGCCAAAGUAUCACUCCGCAUCAAAAAUUCUUUUUUAUCAUUUACCUACUCGAGGACGAGAAGGAAUUAAGCUUGGGGAUGCUUGAUACGUCUCCAACGUAUCUAUAAUUUUUGAUUGCUCCAUGCUACUUUAUCUACUGUUUUAGGCCAUAUUGGGCUUUAUUAUCCACUUUUAUAUUAUUUUUGGGACUAACCUAUUAACCGGAGGCCCAGCCCAGAUUUGCUGUUUUAUGCCUAUUUCAGUGUUUCGAGGAAAAGGAAUAUCAGACGGAGUCAAAACGGAACGAAAUCAACUGGAGAAGUUAAUUUUGGAAGGAAACCUACCAGAUGGACUUGGACCCCAUGUCAGGAGCCAAGGGAGGUGCUCACGAGGGUGGGGGGUGCGCCCCCUGGGCGCGCCCCCCUAGGCGCGCCCCCUGCCUCGUGGGACCCCCGUAGCUCCACUGACGUACUUCCUGCACCCAUAUAUACCUACAUACCCAAAAACUUCCAGAACAGAACCUAGAUCGGGAGUUCCGCUGCCGCAAGCCUCUGUAGCCACCAAAAACUAAUCGGGACCCUGUUCCGGCACCCUGCCGGAGGGGGAUCCCAUCACCGGAGGCCAUCUUCAUCAUCCCGGCGCUAUCCAUGACGAGGAGGGAGUAGUUCACCCUCGGGGCUGAGGGUAUGUACCAGUAGCUAUGUGUUUGAUCUCUCUCUCUCUCUCUCUCUCUCUCUCUCUCUCGUGUUCUCUCUCGUGUUCCUCUAUGGCACAAUCUUGAUGUAUCCCGAGCUUUGCUAUUGUAGUUGGAUCUUACGAUGUUUCUCCCCCUCUACACUCUUUUGAUGAAUUGAGUUUCCCCUUUUGAAGUUAUCCUAUUGGAUUGAGUCUUUUAUGAGAACACUUUAUGUAUGUCUUGCUGUGAUUAUCUGUGGUGACAAUGGGAUAUCAUGUGCCACUUGAUGUAUGUUUUGGUGAUCAACUUGCGGGUUCCGCCCAUGAACCUAUGCAUAGGGGUUGGCACACGUUCUUGACUCUCCGGUAGUAGCUUUGGGGCACUCUUUGAAGUACUUUUAUGUUGGUUGGAUGAAUCUGAGAUUAUGUGACGCAUAUCGUAUAAUCAUGCCCAAGGAUACUUGAGGUGACAAUGGAGUAUCUAGGUGACAUUAGGGUUUUGGUUGAUUUGUGUCUUAAGGUGUUAUUCUAGUAUGAACUCUAUGAUGGAUUGAGCGGAAAGAAUAGCUUUAUGUUAUUGUACUACGAACUCUUGAAUAGAUAGAACAGAAAGGAUAACUUUGAGGUGGUUUCGUACCCUACCAUAAUCUCUAAGUUUUUUCUCCACUAUUAGUGUCUUUGGAGUGACUCUUUGUUGCAUGUUGAGGGCUUGUUAUUUGAUCUAUCUAUGUUAUUAUUGUUGAGAGAACUUGCACUAGUGAAAGUAUGAACCCUAAGCCUUGUUUCCUAUCAUUGCAAUACCGUUUACGCUCACUUUUAUCGCUCGCUACCUUGCUGUUUUUAUAAUUUCAGAUUACAAUUACCUUUAUCUACUAUCUAUUUUGCACUUGUAUCUUCAUCUCUUCGCCGAACUAGUGCACCUAUACAAUUUACCAUUGUAUUGGGUGUGUUGGGGACACAAGAGACUCUUUGUUAUUUGGUUGCAGGGUUGUUUGAGAGAGACCAUCUUCAUCCUACGCCUCCUACGGAUUGAUAAACCUUAGGUCAUCCACUUGAGGGAAAUUUGCUACUGUCCUACAAACCUGUGCACUUGCAGGCCCAACAACGUCUACAAGAAGAAAGUUGUGUAGUAGACAUCAGUGGUCCAUGCAACUGAAGUAAAAAACCAAUCGAUCUGUUCAAGUAAAGGAUUAGUUUGCAUAUUCGACCAGGUAAAUUGCGGUCCUUUAAUUGGUAGCUCAACGAGACCCAGGUGUCCAAUCACUUCAUUAAACAGAAAGAUAUCGCUGACAUUACCCCCAGGUAGGUUUCGGUUUUCCAACGACCGCAUGAAAUUGAAAUCACCCAACAACAGCCAAUUAUCAUCACAGUUAAUAUCAAGAUUAUAUAACCAUUGCACGAAAUCAUCCCGAGCCGGGCCCUGGCACGGACCAUAAACUGACACGAGAGUCCAAACUUCAGAGGUAUGUUUACAUUGGAAUUCCAUAAUGAUACCAAAAUGCCUUGCCUCAAUUAAUUUCCCUUCAAAGAAGGAAGAACUCCAAAUGAUGAUCAUACCGGCCGAGGCACCCAUAGAAGGCACAUAGGAAAAAUUAUCAAAACGCCAUGGGCAGAAUUUCCUAAUGAACUAUGAUCAAUAUGCAUGCACUUCGUUUCUUGCAGACAGACAACCGAACAACCACUUUCAUCAAUUUUUGCUUAACCGCUAAUUGCCGUGCUUCAGAAUUAAGACCACGCACGUUCCAACACAACACCUUCCAAUCUCUAAAUCAUGUUUGAUUCAUUACAAACCAAAAUAAAAAGCAGCAGCAAAAGUAGAUCAUGUAAUGUCCUACACUGACCCACUAAACAUGAGGGAUAUAGUCCAAAC